Molecule: long non-coding RNA, 44601 nt
Filed under: Zea mays
Lineage: Eukaryota; Viridiplantae; Streptophyta; Magnoliopsida; Poales; Poaceae
Description: long non-coding RNA (ZMAY_LNC000441)
Source: RNAcentral
UGGGUCAAGCGGCACCACCGUGGGGUCCAUCUGGUCGUUGGUGGACGGCCAAGGGCACCGCGCCUUGAGGUGCCCGGCGUAGGCGGGGUCGAGGGACGGGUCUGUCCGCCCCAGCUGCCCGCUGAAGUUGUAGAGCCGCUGCGUGAAGGAGGAGCAGUGGGAGCGGACGAUGGUGUGCGCGCCAUAGAGCGUGACCAUGUCGUCGGCGUCCUCCACGGGCCGCGGUCGGCACUCGCUCCUCCGGGGCCACCAUCGCCGUUGCUCGUGCCUCGGUAACCACCGCCGACGAGUGAGGGGGCGUGUAGCUCGCUUGCGCCUCACCGGGCCGCGGCCGGCGCCCGUGCCUCAUGGGCUGUCGGCAUCGAUCGCGCCUCUCGGGCCAUCAUCGUCGCUCGUACUCAGGGAACUGCUGUCGUCGCUCGUGCGUCAGGAUGGUGGCGUCAAAAAAUGAACUCUAGAGGCCUAGAACUCCUUUUAUAGACGUUGAUACCUGAUUGGGUUGGACCGCGUUGCCUAGUUUCUAGACUAGGCUUCCUUUAGUUAUUAAAAACCCAAAUAUAUGGACUUUAGUACCAGUUCAUGAUUACAACCGGUGCUAAAGUUUCAACUUUAGUACGGCUCUAGCCAAGAACCGAUACUAAUAGGGGACCUUUAGUAACGGUUCUAACCAAGAACCGGUACUGAAGUACUAUCUAUAGUACCAGUCAGUGCAAUCGGUAAAUUUGCGGGCUUUUAGUGUCAGAUGCGGUCUUUUAGUCUAACUUUCAAUAAAUACAAGUACAAAAAAUUCAGUUGCAGUUCUCAAAAGCACUUCUCCCUGGAAAGAAAAGUGAAUUGUUUUGGUGAACAUCAAAGAAAAAGCUUGCUCUUCUUUCGUAAAAAAUUCUUCUAAAAAUACCGAACCCAAUCGUUGCAUAAAAGUUUGUACCGCACUUUUAUGUUUACGAGCUAAAGUUCUAGCAUAUGAAAGUCAAAAUAUAUAUUUUAGUCGAUACAAAGUCUGUUUUUUCGAAGAUCCACUAUGAUAAUGAAAAUAUUUCUACAUAAAACUCUCAGUGUUGUACAGACUACAUACACAGUGCUCGCGGGAAAAAAAGAGCUUCUAUAUUUGUGAUCGGAUGUGGUCACUAAAUAUGUACAUGCAUGUUGUGCAAAUAACACCAUUUUACUUGAUAAACUUGUUUGAUUUCACAGCCUUGAAGAGAACAAAAAACACUCUACUUAAUGUUGAUGUAUGGAACGUAUAAACAAACAUAACACGCGCGGGGUAAUUAGAUAAUUAAACUUGACUAGUAGUGUGGGUUUACGGCGAAGCACUUCUCCCUGAUCUCUCCCUCGUCGCCGGUGAGCACCUGGACCUUGCCCAUCUUAACCAUGGCCUUGGCGAACUUGACCUGCCAUGCCUUCUCGACUGCGGCGUUGAAGUGGACCAUUCCGGCCGUCCAUGGGUUGUCGAGCAGUGUGUUGUCAGAGAUGAACAGGACCUUGUGCGCCAGCACGUUCUUGUAGUACUGGUUGUCGAAGGUCGCCGGCGUGACUGGGUCAAGCGGCACCACCGUGGGGUCCAUCUGGUCGUCGCUGGACGGCCAAGGGCACCGUGCCUUUAGGUGCCCGGCGUAGGCGGGGUCGAGGGACGGGUCUGUCUGCCCCAGCUGCCCGCUGAAGUUGUAGGCGCUGCGUGAAGGAGGAGCAGUGGGAGCGGCCGAUGGUGUGCGCGCCAGAGAGCGUGACCAUGUCGUCGGCGUUGAGCCCCUUGCGCUUGAAGCUCUCGAUGAGCUCGUCGACCUCGUCAGUCGGAGCUGGGACAUUGUUGUCGAGCACCUCCUCCUCUUUGGACACGCGGCCAUCACGGCGGCCAGACGGGACCUUGUAGUCCAGGCCGCCGGCGAGGUAGGUGCUGUCACGGGCCGCGAACGCGACGAUGUCGGCGCAGGAGACGGUGCGCGGGCAGUGCGCCUCGAGGACGGCCUUGGCGUCGUCGAUGACGUCGAAGCCGCGCAUGGAUGCUGGGGUUGUUGGCCACUGAGUCCUUCUCGGCCUUGUUGCCCGGCGUGGAGUUGAUGAGGAUGGAGCCGUCGCAGCCCCGCGCCUACGCCGGGCUCACGGGCGAUGCCGCGGCGGACGGCGUUGCGCACGAUAUCCUCGGCCUGUGGGCACGAGUGCUCGUAGAAACCGACCUCAAGUUUCCCAGGCGGCGAGGCGAGUGCCACCGAUGAGGAGGCGGCGGCGAUGAGUGCCACCAGCAAGGCAGCAGGCAUCAGCCAGCAUGUCGACCGCCCCAUAUAUGAUCAACUGCAGUCGUAUAUACCCAAACUCUCAGCAAGUUUGCUAUAGUCGCUUGAGUUGAUCGAGGUCGAUGGUGAUGUUGAGAAGUGAAGCUGAUGAGGAGAUUUGAAGAACGGUGCCGCCGCUGGGUCUCUAUUUAUACAUUGGAAGCUUGCAUGGCGACAUGUCGCAGUUGGAGGAUGGCGUGUGUAUGUCAUGUGCACCCGGUCAAGAAAUAAGACCCAAUCUUCGCGUUCCCUAGCUAAUGUCUGCUAGACCCUCUUAAUUUCCAUGCACCAUCAUUAAAAAUAAAAAAAACUCCUUCGUCCUUCCUAUAACAAAACAGCUGCAAAACACGCAUCUUGUCUUUGUUUUGAAUUGCCACACGCGUCACUUUCGAUUGUAAAUUAUGUAGCUAUCACGAGGGGGUAUUUUUGAUCAAUCAACGUAAUGAUAAGCAGAGCAGACAACUGUUUAGAGAUGGACAAUGAUAUUACUUGCUUGAUCAUAUAUAUAUAUAUAUAUAUAUAUAUAUAUAUAUAUAUAUCAAGUUUCAUUGACAUGGUCGAUACCGCUGCCGCAUGACCAAGACAAAUCGAAGCCGUGUCAAAAUGAAUUAUGUUAUCACUAAGGCUAGGUGUCAGCUUCACUAAUCACUAGCUAACAAUAUAUUGUAUAUGAUUUGCCAAAUCUUAUAGGGUCAAAUGACCCGAUAAGCCCACAUAGCUCUCUGCCUUUAGUUCAACCGAAGCCCCUACCACCCGAGCAUGUGGCCUUUGCAUGCUGUCAGUACUGACUGGCCCUGCCAAUCAGUUGGCGUGGUCAAUACAGGAUUGUUUUAGAGGUGGGGUGGGUGAGGCUCAAGCCCCGUACCGCUCUAGAGCUUAUAUAGUCCCACUAAAGACUCUCCUAAAAUUUAAAAUAUACAUAGUAUAAUUUAUUAUGUAUUUUAUGGUUUUUAUCUUCAUCGAUUUUUAAUAAUACUACUCUAAACUAUUAUAUAUAUUUAUUGUGAGUGAUUUAGUGAGAUUAUAUCGAUGUAGUGGUUUAGUUAAAUAUGUCUUAAAAUAAGGUCAGUAUUGUUCAUGUUGAGACCUUGCCGGUCGUAUUAUCCGUGGCUUUAAAGUACGGGUCAAUACCGAUCGUCUCGUGCUGAAGUAGCAGCUUCUGAUUGGCUAGCUCCAUUUUAACCAUUUGGAUUUCCAUAUCUAUAUCCUUCUCAUUAUCCAUACCGACCAUCCGUGGAUGCUCCUCCUCCUACGACCGACGCUCCUUCUCCUACCUGUGAAGUUCCAUCCACUAAAGCUCCUUGUCGAGGAAUUUCUCGAUAGUGAAUUUAUGUGGGCGGAUUGCGCGUGAUCUAGAGAAGAAAGUAAGAACACAUGGACACAAAUAAUUAUAUAAUUAUACUAGUUUGGGCUCUCCUAGGAGAUAAUAUCCUACCUCAAGUGGCUGUCGGUGAUCUCCUUUCCAUGAAACGUCUGAUACCGCCUUUUAUAGUCUAAGGAAGCAAUCAGUUAUAGGAAGAUCAGAUAAAAAUUCUUAUGUAAACCUAUCCUUAUCUACCAAUCCCUCGUAUCUCGGGUUCUAUUGUUACAACAAAAACAUGUAGAUGAGUUAAUCGUCCUGCCCACAGAUCCAUUCUUGACGUGAGAUCUUGAGAGUUCCGUCCGAGUCCGAGUUGGGAGCGGGGACUAAGUUAGGCCACAAGUUAGUUUCGUGAAUAUUGACGUGUUCAGGAUAGCCAUGAUGUCUAUCUUUUACAAUAGCCUCUGACUUUUAUCAGAGUGUUUCGGGCAGAUGAAACUCUUCUAUUGAAUCUUGUGAAUGUUUCUGAACUAUCUGCGUCUGACUUGUUUUUAUCUCCUGAUCGAGUUCCAUGUCGGUUGUCAAGUGCUAAGUAUCAAAGGUGCCAACUCAUAUAGGUUUGAAUCUUGAAAAACGUAAAUAUGCACCUCUCGUGCAUCCUAUGGAUGUAGCCCCCGAGGCCGACUUACAGAGUUACCAGCUUGGGCAAGUUAGCCUCUGUCUCUUGAGGAAUAUCUACCAAUUCUUCGGCUAUUAAUAGGAGCAUUAUGUGGGCAAGGGUCCAGCCUCUGAGACUUGCGAUUCAGCCUUUUACUAUCCAAAGCUCAAUUUGAGAAUCUUUGAGCUAAUUCUUGAAAACCGCUCUUCCCAACGAGUUGUAUGAGGUGGCAUUUAGCCCUCCGAGCCGAAGGCAUUUGAUGUUCAUUCACCUGUCGUAUGGUGAUGCUUCUAAAUAGAAUCAUAUUUAAAGAGUCUGGAUUAAAUCAAGAUAUUCUUCAGUGUGUUACUUCGAAUGAGAUCUUAAAGCACCAAGUCGGGUACUAGGACUCAUCAGUUUUAUCAUGUUGAAGGAAAAGGAAGCGGGUCUUCAGAAAGACCCCCCUCAGUAGGCUAAAUCUUGGGAUUUAGCAAUUGACAUACCAUCGGGGGGGUGUGCAUGUAAGAAUUCGAGCCAAAAUACUCUACAACUUCACACAUCAUCGGAAGAAACUAUCGCUGCUUGGAUUCCCUCUUUGUUGCCCUCAAAAGGGUCUUUAUAUUGCCCUAUCGGUGAACCAAACCGAAAGGGGCUUUUGCUAUCCCACGAAUGGGUCACAAGCGACAAGCAGGGCCAUGUAGGUGAUACUUGCCAUUUCCCUAGAGUGAUCCCUACUCCAUCCAAAUUGACGUUUAGGCGUUUUAGCGGUGGUAAUCGAAUCCCCUUAAUACCCUUAAAAUUACUAUCAAGAUGUGAUGUGGUAGGGGGGAGGUUCCAUCGAAGCUUUGCACCAGGUGGUAGCUAAGGCAUGUAGGUGGCACAGAUAGAGGGUGAGGCCCAAUCUUCCUUGAGGUAGGAUAACUUGAUUGGGUAGAGAUCUUGACAUUGAUGAUCCGAUCCUCGCAAUCACUACACCACUGCUCAGUUGGUUAUCACCCAUGACACACGAGUGACCUCGCCAUGAAGUCUUAUCCCUGCAAGUGCAAUCAAGAACGCAAGUAAGAACAUGAAGAACACAAUCAACUGUAUUGAUCACGAGGUGGGGUCUCACAAACCGAUGAACGACGACAAUGUUCGAUGACAGAAUGAAUCUAAGAAAAACCUAAACCCUAAUGUGGUGGAGGCUGCUGAAACAAUAGAGGUUAGGGGCGUGCAAAACCUCUGGAGGUACCCCUAAUGGGCUCCAACACGAUACACGGGCCAACAACCCUAUAGACGAUGUCACAACAUCGAAACAGAAUCUGAACGCUGACUUGUUUCGACGAUUCUUGUUGACUCCAGAUAAAGUUUAAGAUGGUUCUAGUUGUGUUGGAAAGUGUGUCACCUUAGAUUUCCAUCCAUAUAAAGUCCUACCUAAUCGGAGAUGGAUGCAUCAUGGGCGUCCAUUUUAGUAUAGACUGGUCCUGGACUUCGAGGUGGAGACAAAGUUGACUCGGACUUGGCUCCCUCUUGUCGUGAACGUCCUAACAUCUCAUCCUUGACAUCUUGGCCUUUACCAAGUCCUUGCUACUCCUAUCCAAGGUUCCUAAUCAUCAAAACAUUCAUAGCAACAAGCGUAAUCUCUAAAACACAAUUGACUAGGUUAGAACGAAUCGGUCCAUGCAUUGUCUGUAUGGGAGUGAUGUCCUCAUCAUCCUUCCCCUAUUGAAUUGGGGUCAUAAUUGACUUAGGCGGUGGCCAAGGGGGUGGUCGAGCAACCCUAGGGUGUACAAGACCUUUAGGCUCAAAAAUAGGCAUCACUGAUUUCUAGAAGAUUCUGGACGUCAUUUUGUUAUGAUGAUUCCUAUCAGCUCCAAGUGUAUUUUGAUAUGGGACAAGUUGGGCUGGAAAUCUUAUCUAUUUAGCUUUUCAUUGCUAUCUAGAACGUCCAAACAGAGUCCGUAUGUGGCCGAGCGUCCUUUAUCAUGAGACCAGUCCUGUAGUCCGAACUAGAGUCACGAAUAAACUGAACUUCAACUCUCUUGAGCUUGGGAAUCUAUGAUUGAUUUGGCCUAGACCAUAUAAUUGACGUCCAUGUACUCAUCAAUCUCUCCUUCUUGGUUUUGAGUCAUCCUCGACUCAAAGUUGUUGGUGCUUGCAUAAGGUAUUGUUGUAGGUCUUGACAUCGUCCAACCUUGCUCCACUUCUUGAAGUUGAUACUGUUGUUGCAAAACAUACAAAGAAGGACAAGUGGAACUGGACAUGAUAUGGUUAGCUUUAACACAUCAGUCUAGUUGAUCAUAUGUUUCAUGACAAAAGGAGAAUUCAUAUUUGAAAAAAUAUAUACUCGAUGUACACUAUAUGCUCAUUUCUAAUUAUAUCUUCCAAUAAAAUAAUAUGUAUGUUUAAAUAUCCAUGGCAAAUCAGUACUAAAAGAAAGUUUCCCUUCUAAAUUAUUCAGAUUACAUAGAACCCCAAAUUCAAUACAACCCAAAGUAUUUGAAGAAGACGACAAUUUUAGGUCAUCAUGCACACUAGUAAUGGGAUUAAAAAUUCUAAUUUCAGCACAACUGUAGGAUUGGAAGCAACAUUAUCGAGUUUGUUCUCAAGUUGUGGCAUAUAGGUAAUAGAAGAAUCAUCAAUCAAUUCUUUGUUAUCACAAGAAUCAGUAGUACAAUCAUCAUGUGACAAAGGUAACUCAGAUAUAUUUGAAGGCAUGGCAUCAUUGGAAGAAACAAAUCGUUCUCUCAUAAGCGCUUUCAUAUUAGCCCACAAUUUUGGUUUGUCAUAGUCAUGAAAAUUGUUCCACCAAACUAAUGCAUGAUUCAUUAAAGUACUAGCCACAAUCUUAAUUUUUCUCCUAUCAAAAAUACGCCAUCGUGCAAAAAUCUUAUCUGUUAAUUGAUACUUCCCAUUCAGUAUACUCACUUACAAUAUUUUUAUCAAAAGAAGAGAAAUAUGGAUAUAUAGAACCUGAGGGAGAUGAAUCAGCAUCAAUGGCGUGGCUCUCAAAAGCUUUAGUCAAUAUGGGCAUCAUCUCCUUUAAUUCCAGAUGGGAGACACUCACCAUCAGUAGGCUUAGUGCCCUUAACCUUGUCCGUUUGGUCCUGUCAUUGUUAGUACAAAACAAAAACAAAGGCAACAAAUAAACAAUAUAAACCCUAUAGCUACUCUAAGGGGUGGUGGUGGAACACAAGUUAUGAAACGUCUUACCCCACUCUUAUAAGGUUCUUACUAGCACUGCAGGUGGCAAACAGUGGCCGGUGUGACAACAAUUAGAGUGUGGGUGUGACUACAAAUAAGUAUCUAUUCUGCUCAAGAUAAAGGUGAAGCUUUGGGAAGAUUCACUAAAUAUAUAUCUGUGGAACAGAAGUCAGUAACAUAUAGCAAUGUUGAAUAAGUGUCCAAAGUACUUGUCCUAGCUACUGACCCAAAGGAUUUAUUAGAAUAGUUGGGGAAAGACACAAAGGAGGUAACAAGAAUUGAGGUAUAGCAAGGGAACAAGUUGGAAGGAAAUACAAUUACAAAGGUGCAUAGGUCAAUGGUGUCCCUGCUUAUGUGCACUCUAUUAUCUCUUUUUUCUUUUUUUUAUCUUUGUUUUAUGUGGCUUUUUUGCACUUGCCUUUUAUAUUAUUUUUUUGACAAAAGUGCCGCAAAAACAAGAUAUAACAAAAGAGUAUCAAAAAAUCUUAUAUGUCUGUCAUAUAUUUUCUGCUCUAACUUCAACAGACUGUUUGACAAAUUAAGCUACCUUAAACGCAAAAACUCACAAUACAAAAAUUGUCUAUCUCCUUUUUAUCGUUAUUUUAGAUAUAUGGAACACCUAUUUUGGAUAAAUUAAGUGGGAGAUAUUGACCCAGAAAUACAGACUAAUCCGAAAUUUCAGGAUCACAAACAUAUUUACUUCCAAUACAGAUAACUCCUUAGUUCUAUAGUUUUCUAGAAAUCUUUUACAUAAUAAAGUUUAACAUAGAUAAUUUUAUAAGCUUUCUAGAAAGUACAAGAACACUUAAUUCCAAGUUCGUAUGCGAGAUUUAUGCUCAAAAUACCGAACUGGAUAAAAACUAAUCUAAUAAAGACGAGAUGAUGUGAUUAAAAAUGAUGGGAUCUGUUUUGGAGAUUAAAUUUGUGGGAUGGAAGCGGAUGAAAAGUAUUAAACUGAACCAAAACAAAUCUAAACUAACAACCAAACACAAUCUAGGACACAAACUCAUAACUCAGGACUCCGAAACUGAAUUAUGCCAAGGCUAAGGCGGUGAUUGUAGGUCGGGGAACAAUCGAUCUAUAUACUUGUGGGCUUUUGUGGACUAUGGGACGAAACAAAAUGAAUCUAAAAGUUAGAUUAUACCUCACGAGCAACCUGAAUCUUUAUACCACUUGAUAGAGGGGGAGGCCAGAUCUUCCAUGAGGUAGGAUGACUUAAUUGGGUGGAGAUCUCGACGUUGAUUAUCCAAGGCUCCUAGCGAACGGACCUCGCAAUCACUAUCACCUGUGACACAAUCAAGAACAUAAGUAAGAACAAUAAGAACGCAAUCUCGACGUUGAUGAUCCAAGGCUCCUAGUGAAUGGAUCCUCGCAAUCACCUCACCACAAAGGCUUAUCUAUACAAGCGCAAUCAAGAACAUAAGUAAGAACAAUAAGAACACAAUCAAACUGUAUUGAUCACGAGGUGGGAUCUCACUAACUGAUGAAUGACAAAACUGUUCGAUUACAUAAUGAAUCUAAGCAAAACAAUGUAGUGGAAGAAGCUGAUAAAAUAGAUGUUAGGGGCAUGUAAAAGACAUGAAGGUACCUCUAAUGGGCUCCAACACGAUACACGGCUAACGACCCAACACACGGUGUUGCAGCACCAAAACAUAAUCUGAACACCGACUUGUUUCGACGAUUCUCAUUGACUCUAGAAGAAUUUUAAGUUGGUUCUAGUUGGGUUGGAAAGCUUAUCUCCUUAUUUUUCCAUCCAUAUAAAUUCCAACCUAAUCGGAGUUCGUAUGCAACCUAGGAGUCCAUUUUAAUGCAGACUAGUCCUAGACUCUAAGGUGGAGACGAAGUUGAGUCGGACUUGGAUCCCUCUUGUCACAAAUGUCCUAGCUUUUCCUCCUUGACAUCUUGGCCUUUCCCAAGUCCUUGUUGGUCCUCUCUAAGAUUCCUAAUCAUCAAAACAUCCAUGGCACCAAGUGUAUGCUCUAAAACAUAAUUGAUUAGGUUAGAACGAAUCUGGAGAUUCAGCUGUCGUGCACAAGCUCGUGUUAUCGGACCGUGCGUUGUAUGUAUGGGAGUGAUGUCCUCAUUAGGUACUGCUGCCCUUCCCUCAUGGGAACCCAACUCUGCCCAAGCCGAAUCAUCUAGGCACUUCUAACAGCAGCGUCAACACCUAAUAUCCUUAGAGUGUUGACCAGAUUUGUUGGAGUUUGGAGGGCUGAUCCAUAUUUUGUCCUUCAAGAAAGAUUUUCAAGAAGCAAUUAGUAACCAACAUAAAUGAAAAAUUUUGUAGGAAUAUAUAAUGGUAUGAAAUAGUUAAGAGAAAAAUCUUCGGUCGUGAUACAAACACUGAAAUUGUCCAAUAAUACUUGCUCAAAAGUGGGGAUUAUGCAAAAAUAGCGCAGUAGCUCGACAUUUCAGAGAUUAGUAACGAGGGUACCAUCUUCUUGCUGGAGUUGACAAGCACAUGAUCGAAGCACUUCCAAGAUGAUGUAAGGGCCUUUCCAUAUGGGUGAUAACUUAUAUUUGUCAUUCAUGCUUUGGAUCUUUCACAACACCAGCCCCCCUACAGUAAAGCUUCGAUCUCGAACAUUUUUGGAGUGAUAUCUCUUCAUGGAUUGUUGAUAUAGUGCUAACUACACUAUCAUUGAGUCCCUUGCGUCCUCAAGUUUAUCAAGGUCGGCAACUCGAUCCUCUCGAGACCAGUCUUCUGUGAAAUUUAGAACUCAGAACGAUUGGUGCUUCAUUUUAGAUGGGAGCAUGGCCUUAUAUCCAUAUACUAAAAAGAAUGAGGCCUGACAUGUUGUGGAACUUGGUGACGUCCAUAGCCUCUAGAGUACUGUUGGUAACUCUUCGACCCACAUCCCUACAUAAGCGACCUAAAAUCACGGGCUUCAAACCCUUAAGAAUAAGGCCAUUGGCUCUUUCCACGUGGCCAUUGCUUUGGGGAUGAGUGACAGAAGCGAAGUUCACUAUGAUCCCGCUUUCGAAAGAAAAUUCCAUAAAUGCUUGAGAAGUAAACUGGCUUCCAUUAUCUGUUAUGAUGGAUCUCGAGACGAUGAAUUGGUUAAAGAUUUCCUAUGUGAACUCCCCAGCUCUAGUGGCCAUGAUCUUUGCCAUUGGUUUUGCUUCAAUUCACUUGGUGAAUUUGUUAAUGGCAACAAGAGGAAAACCACACCAUCUUUGGCCGGUUUGAAAGGUCCCACAAUGUCUAAAGACCAAGUGACUGGGAUGGUUUGGAGCGGUGCAGCUAUAAUGUGGGUGGUGGGCCUGGUGCACAAAAAUUUGACAUCCUUCUCAUGUUCGUGUAAGUUGUUGGGCAUCAGUUACCGCAGUUAGCGAGAAAAAACUUGCCGAUAGAUUUUCCAACCAAUGGUUUAGCUUCUACAUGAUUUCCACAUAAGCAUGAGUGGAUUUCACUGUGUUGUGCUCUUCCUUCUUUGGUGGGGACACAUUUCAUCAAGACUUAUGAAGCACUUUUUUGAUAUAGCUCAUCGUUUGUUAAUACGUAUGUGUUAGAUUUCCGGUACCCUUGAAGGCUAGCCAAUUUGAUUCAAUGAUCAUUACACUGGGCUCUCCCCCAUCAAGCAUCUCCAAUCCUGGUUGUUUAGCUAACUCGGCCGAAGGGGAUUUAGCCAUCUUACUGAUGGUUGGGGAAGUUAAUUUUCCAAGAUGGCUCCUGGUGGCACAGGGGAUCUUGACGAUCGUAUUCUUGCUAAUAUGUCUGUUUUUUCAUUCUUAGCCUGUAGAAUAUGCGUAAAUUUGAUCCCAUCAAACUUUUCUUUGAGCUUCCGAGUUUCCUGGUAGUAACUCAACAUUUUGUCGUCGUUGUAGGUCCACUCUUUAUUUAUUUGAUUGAUUAGUAACGAGUCACCUAGAACUCUGAUCUGGUGAAUGUCGAGAGCGAUGGCAAUUUGCACAUUGAGUAAGCCUUAUAUUUGCCAACAUUGUUUGAUGUCGGGAAGUGUGUUUUAAGAACGAACUUAAACUUCUCACCUUUUGGAGAAGUAACCACUACUCUCGCUCCUACUCCAGUGGGUUACAAGGUUCCGUCGAAGUUUACGAUCCAAUAGUCUAAAUGUUGUGACUUGGAUGGUGUCUGUAUCUCCGUCCACUGGGCGACAAAGUCACCGAGGACUUGAGCUUUGAUAGUCAUUCUUGGCUUGAAGACAAUGUCAUAUAGUCCUAGUUGGAUGGCCCACUUAGCAAUUUUGUCAGUGGCAUCUUUAUUGUGUAGUAUGUCCCUUGGUGUUUAAACUGUGUGUACUUUGAUUCAGUGUGCAUGAAAGUAAUGCACUAACUUGUGAGAAGUAAUGAGCAAAGCAAAGACCAUCUUUAUUAUAUGAAAGUAUCUUAAUAUGGACUUGUUGAGUACCUUUGAGAUGAAGUAGACCGAGAACAACGCCUUCUGGGUACUGUUAGGACUCUGCUGCUCCACUACAAGGGUUGUGCUAACCACGUGAGUGGUGGUCAAGAAGUAUAGUUAGAGUGUCUCCCCUAAUUCAGGGGCAACCAGCACAGGGGGAUUCGUCAAACACUUCUUUGGGUGCUUCCUGAGAUUCCUGGGCCUCGCUAGUCCAUAUGAAAUGCUCUUGCUUUUUUAACAGCUUGAAGAAAGACAAACCUCCAAUGCUAAGUCGAGAUCUGAAUCUUCUUAAUGAAGCCAUACAUCUAGUCAGUCUCUGGAUAUCCCGAAGACAACUCAGAGGUUCCAUCUUCAGUAUCGCAACCACUUUUUCUAGGUUCGCCUCAAUUCCUCUAUAUGAAAUUCAGUACCCAAGGAAUUUUCUCGAAUGGCACUCCAAAAGUGCACUUGUCAGGAUUUAACUUGAUAUUAAAGUUUCUCAGAUUUUUGAAGGUUUUUGCUAAGUUAGAUAUCAAGUCCUUCUUGACCCUAGUCUUUAUUGCCACAUUAUUGACAUAUGCUUCCACAUUUCUAUGUAGUUGAGGUGCUAGGAACUUCUAGAUUCCCCUUUGGUAUGUAGCCCUUGCGGUCUUCAACCUAAACGACAUAGUGGUGUAACAGUACACAUCGAAUGGGGUGAUGAACGAAGUUUUGAUUUGGUUCACUUUUUAGUGGGAUUUGGUGAUACCUGGAGUAGCAGUUCAAGAAAGAGAGUAAGUCAUAGCCAGAUGUGGAAUCUACAAUUUUAUCGAUCCAUGUAAAUAGAACAGAUCUUUCGGGCAAGCCUUAUUUGGAUCGACAUAAUCAACAUGCAUGCACCAUUAUUUAUUUUUCUUUGGUACAAGUACAGGGUUUACUACCCACUCAAUAUUUCUCUAAUAAAACUAGCUUCUAGGAGUUGAGUUAUCUCUUUUUUUAUUAUUUGACUAGAUUUGAGGUAGGGCUUACAGUAUGAAAGGGAAACAUGCCUUAAAAUUGUUUCUAUAUCUAUUUUGGUGUCCGAUGACCAUCAUAACCAUGUGAACUAACUAGUUUGCUAAGUAUAUGAUCAUAGGUCCAUAAGAAAAUACAUCAAAAGAACAAACUCAAAAUUCAGAAGGCACGGACGGCCCAUGCCCCCAAUCCGGACCAUCUAAGACACAAACUCAGAGUUGGACAAAAACUAUGUCGAAUGGAAGAAGAGAACUACGGACCGUACGGAGCUAAACUCAUUUUAAAUCCAAAAUAAGUUUUUAUAUUUCAUUUCAAAAUCUUAGUUUGCAAGUGUAUCUCAACAAAUAAAAUAUAGUGGUUUAUUUUCCCUCCAAAAUUCUUCUCAAGAUAUCAUACAAAUAUUUCUCAAGUGAUUUCUUCAAAUUUUUUUCCAGAAAUAUUGACUAAAUAUUCCACCAAUAUUUUCCCAAAUAUUUUUCUCAUGAGAAAUACCCUCGGAAUCAUUUUUAAAAUUCCUACAAAUAUUUUGUUAAUAUUUUUUAUGCUCAUACGUAUAUAUACGCCACCGGUGUCAUACUGUAAGGCCCAAAAUUUGUAUACAAAUAAUAAUAAUAAAAUAAAUAUAUGAAGAAAUAAAAUAGAAAAUUCAGAUAUAUCAAAUUAUACUUGAGUAUUGAGAAUUGAGGAUAGAAUCUUGAAAACCAAGAACUAUUUUAGAAGAGGGUAAUAGAGAAUUUUUCUAUUCAACUGAAUGAUUAUGCAUUUCAUGAAAUGAUGCACCAUAAGCAAUCAUUUACAUGAAUAUUUAAUUUUAAAGUAACUUUAAUUCCUAUUCCACAAUCAAAAUAUUAUUUUCCUAAAGAAAAGAAAGGAACAAUAGGAAUGUGUUUCAUAUUUCAAACAUUUAUCAAACAAAUAAAUUAAUUAGAAUAAAUAAAUAUCUACUGCAUCAUGAUUGAUUUUUAGUGGGUAUUAAAUUUGAAUUCUUAAACUAUAUCUUAGAUUGGAAUUGGAAUUUUGUAAUGUCAAAAAGGAAUAAUAUGGGAAUAUAACAAUGAGAUGAGAAUUGGGAUUUAACCCAAAGGUACAAUUCUAAGAUUUGAGAAAAGAGAAUAAAAUACUAAACAAAUGAGAUAAAAUAAGUAUAUAAAUAAGAAAAUAUUUCCUUACACUAACAUUUGAAUUUUGUAUAUUUUGAUCCAAGGUGAGUCUCAUAACAAAAUUUAAAUUUAAGUUUGAAAAUCAAGAGAAUGAAAUAGAAAACAGAAAAGAUAAAAUGAAAAGGAAAACGAUCCAGUUGGGACAAAACUGUGGAAUUCGGCCCACUCGACUCUCACGCGUGCGCGUCGGCCCAACGUUCGUGCAAACGCGUGCCUUGACACCUGCCACUUGGGGCCCGCAUGUCAGUCCCGUUCCUAAGUUCUGAUCCCCUCCACGAGUCUUACCGCUGGGACCCCUUGGCGGUCUCUAUCUUUUUGCGCCCACUUCUCUCGCUCUCAUGGAUUUGCGGGACCGUGAUAUCAGGAGCUCCGUCUUCCGCGGGAGGAUGGUUGGUGGCCGCGAAUUCUGCUGGCGUGGUUGUGCCCACCUCCCCACCAUCCCUGUGGAUCACUUGGGCAUUGACCUUUCGUCGUGCGUUCGUCGCAUGGGGUGCUGGGACCCACCUGCCCACCUGCCGCACCAGUAAUCGCGAAAGUGGGCGGGUUGGCCGCGCGAGUCCGCCGCGUUUGCGGUGAUUGCUGCGCCAAUGGGCAAGAGCUACAGAUAAAACCCCUCAGCACCUUCCCGACCGCGAAUCUCGAAACUCCACACCCUCCUCGGACUAGCCGUUCCCCUCCUUCACUGUGAGAACCACACCACAAGUGACACCGUUGCCCGCCGCCAUAGACCUGUGUCUGCACCGACAAUUGAAGGCCAAGGUGGCGUCGGGAUCGUUCGUUGGCACGCGUUGGUCGCUGGCGUGAAGUAUUGAGCUCGGUGACCCGUUCAAUCAUUCAAAAUUUCUCGUCGUUGACGGUGAUCCGCCGUGCGCCGUGAACGCCGCUUCUUGGUACUUAACUCUCGGUAAUAAGUUCAUCUCCAUUCAUAUUACCUCCUUCGCGCUAUGUAGCAAGGCCGAAUUUGGAAACCGACGUGGCAGCGUGGGGUGUGGCUUCACCGGACAUGGCCACCGCCGUGCGGGGGUAGCACUGUCGGCCAGCGUCGAGGUGGGGGUUUGACGAUCGCUCAGUUGUUGGAUGGCAAACGGACAUCGAUGUUUGAGUUGAGGGAUACCCCUUCACCCCAACCGUUAUCCACCGAAGAUCGGACAUCUAGUGGCUAAAGCGAAAUGGUGGGGAUCGUGCGCUGUGGGUCGUCGAUCUCAGAUCCGACGAUGACUCGGGAAUCAGGAUUUAUAUCCAUUGCCGAUCUAAUCUGGCGUGUCGAGUUAGAUCGGACGGUUGUGGUCGCGCGAUACCCCUUCGCGUGGCUCGUUUUACAUAAGAGACCUCGACUUUUUAGGAAAACAACCCGCAGUCCAUGGUCAUUGUGCGCUGAGUUUGGGGUAUCUUACAUCAAGACCCCUACUGUUCUCUGAUUUUGUGCGCCCAGUCCAGAGAACAGAAAACCAGAUAAAAUUCAUUAGAAAAGGAUUUUUAAUGUAAAAAUAAACCCCUAGAACUUGUUUAAUUCAUAUAAAAUUCAUACUUAGUCCAAAUUGGUCCAUUCUAGUUCCUAUAAUUUUAUAAUAUUAUUGUUUAUACAUUAGUACGACUGUUUUGACAUGAAAGUAACAUUAAAAUUUAUUUCCUAACUAAUCUUAUACCAAGCACGUAAAAUCUUUGGAAAUUCAUAACUUAAAAUCUAUAACUCCAAAUUUAAUGAUUCAUGUUCCUAUGAUCUUAUUUUAAUGUGUAGAUUAUUAUUAUGUAUUUUGUUUACAUGUUUGGUGUGAUGUUAAUUUCUCCUUUAUACUAUGUAUGUUUGUAUUGAUGCGAGUAGACGAGCAAGUCACUGAGGAUCCUGGUGCCUAGCAGAUAGAAGUUGCUGAGCAGGAGCUCAUUGAAUGCAAGUUGUGCCCUUGAUCACUUCCUUUUUACCCAGUCAUGUUCUUACUAAUCAUAAUGAUCUGCAUAGGUUAAUUUUGAUGGGACCCAAUAGGUUACCCUAGUUUUGGCUAUCUUUAUACCUUUUUACAACUGAAUUUUUGGGUAGUAUAUGCUAUUGCUUUAUGUGGUUUUGGGUAUAGAGAUAUACAUUACUCAUGUUCACGCUUUUGUUAUCAGUUUAUUAUCCACUGUUCAUGAUAAGAUCAUUAUGUUAAUGGGAACACGGAGAACCACCUGGGAAAACAAUGCCACCACAAGGGUGGUAUGGGACGCCCUUGGCUGACUAAUUAGGAAAGCUAGUGGAAGACUACCUUACCCGAAAGGGGCAAGGGCAGUAGGGGAGUUGCAUGCAGGGAGGUUCUCGGGUUGAUUUUGCUGCGAUGGCGGUCAGACGAGGGAUUCUUGCAAGUGCUCUUCCCAUAAACUGUAGCGGGUUUUCGGAAGCUAGUGGAACUUUGUAAAGGUCUCGUAGUGGAUCCCUAACCAUUCACCUCGGUCGUGUCUAAGGGCCUUGCAAACCUUGGCGACAUGGGAUACAUGACUUGUGGGUACAGGGUACAACCUCUGCAGAGUGUAAAACUGGUGUACUAGUCGUGCUCACGGUCAUGAGCGGCUCGGACACUCACAUGAUUAAUUUAUGGAAUUAAAUUCAAUUUAUCAUUUGCAUCGCAUUGGGAUUACUUUAUUAUUACUUCUAUUUAUUAUUACUAAGGUUUGGUAUUUACUUACACUUAGUAUCUGCUAAUAAAUUUUUGACCAACUUAUAAAAGCAAUGCUCAGCUUCAACCUUUAUUUUGUUGAUCAGCCUUACACUUCACAUGAACUCCCACCUUUGGGCGUCUCUCUGUUGACUUUUUGGCGCCAAGGAUGGACUUUAGUUCGAUCUAUAUUUAUCUUUUAUUUUGUAAGACUUCGGCUAUGUAAUAGGUACAAUGAUUAUAUUGUGACAUUUAUCUCUAUACAUUCUGUUAUUAUAUGUGUUGUCUUCUUUGGCGAAUAUAUGAGAUGCACCCAGCUUUGUCCUUUAAAUCCGGGUGUGACACAUACAAUGAGCUCUACAAGCUAAUUUCACUUAUCCACGGCUAAUACAUGCUUAUCUCCCACUAAUCCUUGCCUCCUCCCCCUAAUCCCCCACCUUGCCUAUAAAUAGAGGGCCAAGGGGCUCCCUCAUGCCAUCCCAAGCCAUUUCAUGGCAACUCACUCCCAGUCACUCCCACUCUCACAUAAACACAAGGAUCAUUCGAUCGUUCAUUCGAUCGUUCGUCCAAAUAUUCUUAGUUUGUUCGCUCGUUCGUCCGAUCGUUCAUCCAAUUGUUCAUGGUUUGUUCAUUCGUUCGAUCAUUCGAUCUUUCGUCCUUUCGUCUGUCCAAAUUUAGUUAUUGUUCAUUCGUUAUGCUGCCAAAAUUCCAAUCAUUCGUACGUUCGUUCAUAAUCCCUAUUCAUCGUUCGUUCAUACGAACUAUUCAUCAUUCGUUCAUAAUAAGUAUUCAUUGUUCAUAGUUACUAUUCAUCGUUCGACCGAUCGCCCAAUUAUUCAGCUACUCAUCCAUCAUGAUGUUCAGCUCACCUAAGACAUGUCGACCAAUAUCUCAGUAAUGCAGACUUUGGUGACUGUGAUUUUCCUUCCAGUGAGUACUUCUCGUCUAGUCACUCAUCCUCCAAGUUGAGCACGCUUAACUUUGAGGUUCUUCUGAACUAGGCUUCCAAAAGAAAGGCGAACCACGAUUAUAUGGAUACACUAUCAAUCCUAUAAAACUCUAGGCCAAGAUACUACAACCCGCCAAGGCCAGGAUAUCAUAGUUUUCUAGUUGUCUGGGUCCCACCUAAUUGUUGUCCCAUGUGACACACUAAGUAGGAACAGUUGUCACUAACAUAAACCUUCGCUCACGAAUAGCCUAGAAAUAUUUCCUAGCACUCCGCUCAAAACACACGUUUUUGAACUUCCAAAUAUCCCCAAAUAUUCAAUUUUUGGAAUAUUCUAGGAAUAUUCCUUUUUCUUUUUCAAAUUCCUAUGAUUAUAAAAUCCAAAACUCCUUCGUAUAGACUCUGAUUUCGACAAUUCUGAUUUUCUAAAUUCUUAUCAAAUUACCCUCUAUCCAAUUAUCGUGGUUUCGGAAACCAGAGGGUAGUAAGAUUUGUGUUCGACAGGGUUGCUAGCGUGGACUCACUCCAAAUGGUGAAUCGGUGGAACUCGAGCGAGAGAUCUGGAACACGAGGUUAUAUUGGUUCGAGUUUGCACCCUACUCCAGUAUAGUGCUAACCGUAGUAUUCCUUCGAGCGUGUUACAACAAGUGUGCUCAUGUGCCUAUAGAAUAAAGAAGUCCUGCCCUUUUAUAGUUCAAGGGUAGGACCUUACAAGGGUGACUUGCUCUCUACUUGGUAUGAGGUUGGUCUGUUUCUCUGGCUUGUCGUUGUGCACCUGGUAUCAGGCUAUCCGUUGGGUCGUCCUUCUCUUACGCCAGUCUUUUAUAAGGAUGCUCAACAAAGACUUGGUCAUCGACUCUGCCUCACAAGGUUGCUCGGCAGAGACUUGGUCAUCCGCUCCACCUCGCGAGGUUGCUCGGCAGGGUCUUGGUCGCCUGCUCCGCCUCGCAAGGUUGCUCGGUAGGGACUUGAUCGCCCGCUCCUCCUCGCAAGGUUGCUCGGUAGGGUCUUCGUCACCCACUCCGCCUCGCAAGUUUGCUCGGCAGGGUCUUUGUCGCAUGUUCCGCCUCACAAGGUUGCUCCACAUGGACUUCUUGGGCUUUGUUUGGGCACCCCAUUCCUGGGUGCCCAACAUUAGCCCCCAAGCCUUUACGCGACUUCUUGGAGUUGUGUAGAAGCUUUUAUCUAAAAGGCAGAUUUCCUUGGUGCGCGCAAGUGCUGCUAGAUGCAGCCCCUGAGCCCCUGAGGUAUUUGUGAGAAUUGCUCGAGGGUUUACCAGGUUAAGUCUACAGUUUAGGGGCCGACCCUUGCUAUGGUGGUCAUCACACGUUGAGCAUAGGUUCACUAGUAGCUAAGUGGUGUGUGUGGCACAAUGAUGACGACUCUAGUGAUGCGAGCAAACGAUCAUGUCUCAACGUGGAAGUUGAUUAUAGCUCCUUGUCACACCUUAUUAGCCAUGAUAAGGCAAGAGCACAACACAAAGGUUAGGAGACAACAAUGAGUAGCAAUGAGUCCUCUUCCAUGGAUAAGAGAUGAUGAGGACAUCCUCCUCUAUUACCCAUUAGCAAAGACACAAUGGCCUAGUUGGUCUGCUUGUAGUCGGACGACGACCGUGUGAGCCUAUAAAUUAUCCCACAUCUAUUAACUUGGGAGAAGAAAACCACCUUAAAAGGGAGAGCCACCCUUCCACUAUUAGACUAGUCUUUUAGGGUGAUUGGGCCUUUACUUGAUUAGGUGUCCUUAAUGAAUUUUUGUUGCCUAGGCAACACUAAUUUGUUGGGCCUCGACUAACACCACCUGGGUUGAGUGUAUCAUUUCGUAUUAGAGUUAGGUCCCAUUUGAAGAUGGUUGGAAUGAUGAGGACAUCCUCCGAUAGUACUCGUUGGCAAUGAUGCAAUAACCCAGUUGGCUCAUUUGUAGUUUGGCGAUGACGGUGUGAGCCUCUAAAUUACCCCACCUCACUUGACUUUAGAGGAGGAAGCCGCCUUAAAAGAGAGAGCCACUCUUCCCCAUCGGACUAGUCUUUGGGGUGAUUGGGCCAUUACCCAAGUAGGUGUGCUUAAUGAACUAUUGGAGUUCGGGCAGCCCUAACUUGUUGGGCCUCUACCAACCCCACUUGCAUUGAGUGUAUUAAGAGCAUGGUGAACAAGCUCUACAUGGUUGGCUUGAGGAUAACUGAAUCAAAAUUGUUUAAGCACAUCAUCAAGUUAUUCGAUUAGAUACCACCAAUAUGGGUGAUAACAUGAAAAAGGUCCACAAGUUGGUCGUAAAGAAUUGACCAAGCAAUUAAAAGUAGAUGAAGAAAAUAUAGUAUUGUAUCAUUUUUUACAAACAUGUAUUUUUAUUUUUAAAAAUUACAUUCUAUCUAUUUUGAAUUACAUUUUUAUUUUGUUAACUACAUGAUUAAAUGACUUCUCCCAAAUAAAAAAUGUCAUGUUUUGUUUAACAUACAAAUCUAUAAAAGAAAAGAUAAUGUGGUGUUGUGGUGGCUACAAGUUGACGGUAAAGGUUGUGUACAAGAGCGUUGUAGUAGACAUGGGUUGACGGCAGUCAAUAACAUGGUCGGUAAUGUGAUCGAUAGCUGAUGUGGUGGGUGGUAUGGCUGAGUGCAUUAGCUCCAGCCUAGGCCAUAUGGAUUAUGUUAUCGCUAUGCCUGAAUGCACUAUUCCUGUAAGGAUUAUGUUCGUGUCUGUGGCAUAUGGUCAAAAGUAUUGAUGUUUCUUAAUGUGAAUUCAUGCCAAAAUGCUUUUACACUGACAGUUGAUGAUGGAUUCAAGAGGUUAUAUUAGAAAUUGUGUACCCAAUUAUAUUCAAGGGUAUUUAGUCGAAUAUCCAAAUUUUUGGGCAUGAAAAAUUAUAGAUUUAGUGUUUAUAUAUGUAUUGGAUAAAUAAAUACCAAUUAAGAAUUAUGUCCAAAAUAUAUUUUUCUACUCCUAUCCCCUCCCCAUCCAUGACUCAAUGGCCCAUUUUGAUCGAAGAAUGUACUGGGCAAAAACCAUCGGCCUCCCCACCCUACAUAGUCACUUUAUUUCUCAAUCUCGCACCCAUGACCGCUGAAAGCGUCUAAGCCAUUAGUAGUUAUGAUGAUUAAUGAUUUCAUAAUAUUAUUGUGACUAAUGUGUGUUUUGCAUAGACAAAUUUGAGUUAGAUUAUAGUGAUGGAUAUUGUUUAUGUAAUAUAUGGUUACUAUGCCCCUACUUAUGAAUUUUGUUGCAGUUUUUGCAAGGAUGAAAGACAAGGUUAAGAAUGGACUACUUCUAAGUGUCGAUUGGAGUUGAGGCACACUUAGAGUAGUGUAGGACUUUGUUUUUCCUUUGACCAUAUUAUAAAGGGGUAUAAACUAGUAGCUUGACCUAGAUAAGUCUAGUGAGUUUAGUGUGGCGUAAACUAGUUAUCUUUAUCUCUAGCUAGUUUAGGAGAGGCCCAAAACUAGUAAGGAUCAAAACCCAAUUCCAAUGUUGCAAAAUUGGACAAUUUAGAAGGCUUUCGAUGCAUUAGACCUUGUGUUUUAGGGUUAUCGGACCAUAGUGGAUUGGUCUGACUCCUCCAGUUGUCAACCUAAGAGCACCCAAUUGUCAAACCCUAUGAACAGUACCUCACUAGACCAAUGCAUUGGGCCAACUGUUUGUGUGAUCAAACCAUCAGUUCUAGGGGUACAUUGAACUGGUCCUAUGAUAUGUGUUGGACUGAAAAAUGACAUUGUUUUAGCUUGGGGUUUGGCUAUAUGGUCAUUAGGCCCUAUGAACAGUUGUCUCAUCGAACCAAAGAAUAUAAGUCCAACAAGUGUUCACAUUGAAUAUAGAGGUUCUAGUGGGCGUCAGACUUGUCCAACGAUGGGUGUAGGGCCAUACACCCAAGGCUCAGUUUUUAAUGGCUAGUUCUAUCACGGUAGUACAAUAGUUACCAUUAUGUCCCAUCAGAUGUUGUGUUAUGGAACAAAGGUGAUUGUUGGACAGUAUGGUGAUGUCAAAUUUAGCCUGUGUUGGAAGUAAUGACUAGUUGGCUAGUUAGAGGCAAUAAAUACCCCACCAAUAACCAGCACAUCUAACAUUGCCUCCAUUUAAUAUCCAAAUCAACCCAUAUAGUGUGAGAUAAGGAGCCAUUGCAUAGUGAGGGAUUUGAGUCAAAUUUAUAAAGCCCUCAUAGCGCAUGCAAGAGUUAUUAGGGUGCACCCAUUGAUCUCAUCAAUUUUGUUAGAGUCAAGUGAGAGUUUGUGUUUAUUACUCUUGGUGACCAGCAUCACCUAGAUGGUUUAGUGGCACUCGAUGUGUAGUGAUUGUCUAUAGAGAUUGCAUGUGAUCCAACUCAGGAAGUGUAUAUGGUUGUGAGCGGUUCACCAUGCUAGAGUGCCAAAGAACAAGCUUGUAGUGAGCACUUGGUCCUUAUGCAGAUCAAGGGUGUGUGACACCCUUGUGUGGGUGCUCCAAUGAGGAUUAGUGGAGAAUAUCGACUACCGUGACAAGAGGAAAUGCUUGAAAAUCUUUUAAAUCCUUGGAUAAAUUUCCACAAUUAUGUUUGUAAAAAUUUACAUUCUUAGAUUUUUCAUGAUAGCAUAGUAUUGGAAUUUAGGCACAAAUUUAUUGUAUACACAUUAGGCACUCGGGUGAAGUUAUGCUAAUAAAUAUGAUAAGCAUAUGUAUUGUCACGAAGAAAACAUGAAGAUAAAUAAACAUCUAGUGAAGAAUUCAAAUUAAAAUAGACUUUUCUACGCCCCUCCCAUCCCCACCUGAUGGUCUAUUUUGACACAAGAAGGUAUUGGGGAAAAUCCUCAUCCAGCCCUCCGCCCCACCCCACCUAUUCGCUCUCUUUCUUAGUCCCUCCUAUGACUGUGACUAAAAGCUGGUGAUCGACAACACCGCAAGCCAACAACUUCUUCCUCUUUGGAAUCAAACACCAAAAAAGGAAGAUAUUAAAAGCACUAGGGAUGGUCAGUUUUUGUGACCCUACAAAAUUUUCUUCCUUCCAUAUGAAUGUGACGGAACCUCCCAAGUAAUUAGGCCCACCUACAGUUGUCCUUGUCUAACAGACAUCAGACACCCUGUAGAUGUUCCUAAGUUACUUGACAAGCUCGGUAUCUUUCCUUACCUCACCAGGAACGUCUCACCCGUCUUGCAGACAUUACAGAACAUCGGAGAUAAAGAGAUGCGGAAGCAAUUACAUAAACUUACAUUUAUUUCAAAAGCAAGCUUGAGUUAUUUUAUUACAGACCAAAACUAAAAAGCGAGUGUAGAGUAGUAAUAUUAUACAAACCAAGGGAGGUACAAACUCCUCCCGAUAAGCUAUAAGUAAAAGAUCCUAUGUGGAGGACCGAGUCUUCCCGCACUUCAGUCUUGUUUUUCUUCUUUUGGAACCACCUUGGCACAGAAGCAGCAAAAGUCUGCUACUUCCUCACCUAAAAACAACGAAGGGAUAAACCCUGAGUAUGGAAUUACUCAGCAAGUCUUACCCGACUAAAGAAAAGACUCUCAAGGGUAUGCUGGUUGUAUGGGAGUCAAGGUAAGGCUUUUCAAUAAUCAAAGACGCUGUUUUGCAGAAAUGCUUACUAAAGUGGAUCCUUAAAAAUCCAAUUUUAUUUGUCAAGUUAAGUAAAAUUACCUGCACUAGAGUUCUUUCUACCCUAGUUCAAUCACUGGUCCUGCAGAAGCCAAUUUCUUAACAAAAGCCCAUCGUCUUUAGUGGAAUGCUACGUGUAGGGCAGUGACCAAGUCUUCAUAACCGCGAAGGUACGGCGAUCCGAAUCGAUUAUACUCAGCUGAGGAUCUCCAAUCACACGACAUAUGUAGCACUUAACCCUUGCAUAUGUCAACCCGCCACCGGGGUUCUUAAGACCGGAUCAGGUUCACGCAAACCGAGAGCACAGAUACACCACCGUCCAGCCUCUUGCCACGGAGGGUACACGCUACUCUCGCCACCGCUCCACGCCCAUUUCGUGUUAUCUUAUUCCGGCCUUAGUCUGCCUGAGGCAAGGCUUACCCAUGACGAGGCAUGUGACCAGUUAAAGGGUCCUCGAUCAUCAAGCCUACAUCGACAAGGUCCUUAAUCGACUCAGACAGAGACACUACACCGAGACUCUCUUCUCGUGCAAGUCACCUCGCCCGGUCUCAACUUAAUUAUUUCAAACCCAAAGUUUGGUACCUAGCAGAGGUACAUCUUUUCCGAUGUUGAACCUAUCAAGGCCUUUGAUAGAUCCAUCAUCAAGUUUUAUUUUCGAAAAACAUCCCACCCACUUUUGCCACAUCAUAUUUUGUAAAAACAAAACCUUUUGUUUUUCUAAAGCCAAGCUAAACAUCAAAAAGCUUUUGUAAAACAGGUGAUUAAGGAAGGUAAUCCAAUUCAAGGAAGGUAAUGCAGGAAUGGUUUUAUCAAGCAACUCCUAUCACCUAAUGCAGCAAUCAAGUGAGAAAGAUUUUAAAAUAGCAAGGAAGGUGGCAAAUGCACCGGGGCUUGCCUUCGUUUAAAGGUGAUUCGGGUUCGGAUCCACAGAUAUCGAAGUAGAAACUAUUGCCUGCUUGUGAAUCCGAAGGAGGUGGUGUCCUGUCUUCGGUGACUUCUAUCUCUUCUUCACGUUCUAAUCAUAACCAUACAUAAGUAUAAGAAUGGAUGCCAUGGGAUGCUCAUGAGGAUGCAAAUAUAAACUUAUUAUCUAUGUCUUGAAUACAACUUUCCUUCACGGAGUUCCGGGAACUUAGGGUUUCCGGAGUCGGUAAAGGAGUUCAUAGGGCAGGGGGGGUGUUUUGGGGUUUGGUGAUCAAACAAGGUCCAAAUCAAUUCAAAUCCUACCCAAGGCUUCUAAAUAUUAUGAGGAACUCAUAUAAAAAUUUUGAGCAUUUUUGGAAUUACCAUUUGUUUUCUAAAAAUCCAUAACCAACAUUUUUAACCACUUUAAAUACCCUAAAAUUUCUUACUUCCACUAAAAAUCACAAACUUAUUUUUACUAAAUUCUAGGGAAAAUAACAAGCCUAGGAAAAUUAGUUUCACAAUUUUAGCAUUUUUCUACAUUUUUCUACAUAUUUCUAAAGCUCUGCUGAAAAAGAAAAAGGAAAAGGAUUAAAUAGAACUGGGCCGGUUCUGGCCCAGACGGCCCAGGUCCAGGGCAAAACGCGCCCGCGCGCGCCCGCGCCCUGGCAGCUUUGCAGAAAGGGCCCCGAGUUUUUGACUAACUGUGAACGAGUUCAGUUACUACUUGUAUCAGUCACUGACAAAUUGCACCGGGGCCCCUGAGGUUCUAUUUCUCCACAGGUGAGGUCCCUGACGACGGCAGCGCACGGAGGAGCUCCGGCGAGCGCGUAGACCGGCCGAGCGGGGCCACGACCGGUGCUCAGCUGCGGCCUAAACCAAAUUCACAACCUAGCGAAUGUUUCCCCUAGGUUAAUUUGAAGAAUGGUGCCCUAAUAUGCCCUGACCACGGCAACCGUGAGUAUUGCGGCUAGGUGGUCGCGUUCCCGGCGACCAGAGGAUUCUCAAUCCAAUUGCAUGCGUCGGUGAGUUUGAGGGAAGCUUAAGGAUGCUAAAACGAGAUUAGAGAGGGCGUGAUCGGACCUGGAGAGGGCUGGCCACGACGAGCUUGGGUUCACGGCGUUCUUCAACCGGUUUGGGGGAAAUUCCAAAUUCAAGUUCUCUGGUGGGGGGUUUGGGAUGCAGGUGGGUGCAGUAGAUGCUUGGAUGCAUGGCAGAGCUGGGGGUACUGUCAAUUUAUAGCGCCCACGGGCGGUGGUGCUCAAUUUGGCCGAGCCACGCGGCGGUCGGAGGUGAAGAAGAAAGCACUGGCCUCGUGAGUUCGUGGCCAACGGCGUGGCAAGCUCACCGGCGUCGAUGGGAUAGCCUUAAGGUGUCACGGCGGUGCGGUGGAAAGGCUAAGCCACGCGGCACAUGGCCGAGAGGCGGCGGUCAUCGGCGAGGUAAUCCACUCAGCCGCAAAGAGGGAGAGAGGGCUACGGGGGUCACCGGAGUGAUCGCCAGCGCACGGGCGGUGAAGAUCUUUUACCCCGCAAGGUUAUCCAUUAGCUAUGAGCGCGAAUCCGGACGGCGGCAGCACGAAUCACGGCGGAGGGAGCCGUCGGCGGUGAGGACAGCCGCGCUGGCGGUCUGAUCCCUAUUGAGCACUGUACCAUGGCAGUCACCAAUUCAGAGCGACUGACAGAGCACAUUGGAGCAUCAUUUUCUCUGAUUUUCAGAUGGCAACACACCCAGUGAUCUAUAGCAAAGUUGUAGUGCUAUAAUCCAUCUAUAUCUUUGCUAUAAUGUGUACUCACAAAAGGUCACUGGAUCCCCUUCAAAAUCGAGCUCAAAGUUCAUGUCAUAACACUGUUAAUCUGCAUUUCAGACUUCAGGCAGCCUGACAGUCCAUCUUUGAUUGGGUUUUUCUCCAAAUUUCACAUAAGACCAUGGCUUGAACCCUUAAAAAAAGUUGUUCUCCCAUGAUUGAUCUUCAACUUUGAUGUGGUCACCUAACAUGAAUUCUCACUAUUUUGGAAGCUACACAGCCCCAAAGUUGGGCCUACAACCCUGUUUUCACACUUAGCAUAGGACUCAAAUGAGGUCCAUUUUGCAUUUAAGUCCAAAACUUAGGGUUUGGCUUUCAAGUCCACAUGUUUGUGAACCAAAUGACUUAAAAUACUUAUUUAGCUUGGUUUUUGCACUUUAGCCCAAAAGUGGGCUAAUUUUGCACAUAAGCCCCUAGGGUUUGGUUUUAGGGUUUUUCAGGGUUCCAAUUAGGGUUUCUGGUAUUCCAGGGGUAUAAAAGUGAUUCAAGUUUAUUCUUGGGGUCAUUUUAUGACUUUUACCCUAAAGCUUUUAGGUUUUCUCAACUUGGGUUAGGUUUUACCCCUUUAAUCCCUAUUUAGGGUUAAGUCCUUUAACCAGGGUCCUAUUUGCAAAACACUUAAACAAUACAACUUGUUUGAAAUUUUUGCCUAGUGAAUGCACUCUAGGUGUGUCAAACAUAUGCAAUGCCAAUGCUAUGAUGCCAUGCUCAAGUUUUAGUUACAGUAACACCAGGGGUGUUACAUCCUUCCCCCCAUAAAAGAAUCUCGUCCCGAGAUUAAAAAUCCUAGGGUAGGUAAUGGUAAAGGAAACACAUCACAUUUUUAUUUCUUAAGUUUUGGUACAAGGCAGGGGUGAUGUGGGGGUCACUUCUCUAUUACACAGUUAUACAGGCUUUACAAUUUACAAGAGGCUAAAAAGCCUGGGAAAUUCUUAUUCAAAAAGUCUUGAGUUUCCCAAGUAGCCUCAUCUUCAGAAUGCUGGUUCCACAGUAUCUUGUAGAACUUGAGAGUCUUUCUCCGGGUGACCCUGUCCUUUUGAUCCAGAACUCGAAUAGGAUGCUCCGAGUAUGUUAAAUCUGGUCCCAGGACAACAUCCGUCACUUCAAUGGUUCGAUCGGGAACCCGAAGACACUUCUUCAAUUGUGACACGUGGAACACAUUAUGCACAGCAGACAAUGUUUCGGGUAGUUGAAGUCGGUACACCACUGGUCCACAUUGCUCAAUCACCAGGAAUGGACCAAUGUACCUGGGUGCAAGUUUACCUUUAACCCCAAAAUGCGAUACACCUUUCAUUGGUGAGACCUUCAGGUAAACAUAGUCUCCUUCCAGGAAAUAUAAGGGCAUUCGCCGCGUGUCUGCAUAACUCUUCUGACGAGCUUGUGCCUUCUUCAUAUUAUAAAUAAUUUUCUGAACCUUAUCCUCGGCCUCUUUCACCAUAUCAGGCCUAAAGAAGCAUCUUUCUCCAGGUUCAGACCAAUUUAGCGGAGUUCGACACCGUCGUCCAUAUAGCGCUUCGAAGGGUGCCAUCUUGAUACUUUCUUGAUAGCUAUUGUUAUAUGAAAACUCCGCCAAAGGCAAACAUUCAUCCCAUUUCGGUGAGAAGUCCAGAACACAUGCCCGCAGCAUAUCUUCAACUAUUUGGUUCACUCUCUCAGUCUGUCCACUGGUUUGAGGAUGAUAGGCCGAACUGUGGAGCAAUUUGGUACCCAAGGAUUUAUGAAGUUCUUCCCAAAACUUGGACACGAACUGAGGUCCACGAUCCAACACUAUGGUCUUUGGAACACCAUGCAAACUGAGAAUACGGGUAAUGUAUAACUCCGCAUAGGUAAUGACGGGAUAUUUUACUUUGACAGGGAGGAAGUGGGCGAUCUUUGUGAGUCGAUCAAUGAUAACCCAAAUAGAGUCAUACCCUUUCGCGGUCCUGGGCAAUCCCACAAUAAAGUCCAUGCUGAUGUCUUCCCAUUUCCAUGUUGGGAUUGGCAAAGAUUGUAAUGGACCAGCAGUUUUCAUGUGUAUGGCCUUGACACGUCUGCAAGUGUCACACUUAGCCACAUAGCGUGCAAUUUCAAUCUUCAUCUUUGUCCACCAGUAAUGUUGCUUUAAAUCUUGAUACAUCUUAGUGCUUCCGGGAUGAAUAGAAUAACGACUAAGAUGUGCUUCAUCAAGAAUUUGCUGGCGGAGUUCUUCGUUCUUUGGCACUACUAUGCGGUUUUUAAACCAUAUCACACCUUGAUCGUCUUCCUUGAAACACUUGGCUACUCCAGCCUUUAUCUUCUCUCGUAUGUGCUUCAUACCCAGAUUAUCCUUUUGAGCAUCAAUUAUCCUUUGCAAAAUGAUUGACUCAAGCCUUAGCUGAUUUAGAGUCCCUUGUUGGAUUAUCCCCAGGUUUAGCUUCUCCAUCUCCUGACACAAAGUGUUCUCGAAGGUCUUCGCCAUAAGACAGUGGCAGGAAGUCUUACGACUCAAUGCAUCUGCCACCACAUUGGCUUUGCCUGGGUGAUAAUGGAUCUCCAGUUCAUAGUCUUUAAUGAGCUCAAGCCAUCGUCUUUGCCUCAUAUUUAACUCUGACUGGGUGAAGAUAUACUUCAAACUUUUAUGAUAUGUAUAUAUGUGACAGAUAUUUCCCAGCAGAUAGUGACGCCAUAUCUUUAGGGCAUGAACCACAACAGCUAGCUCCAGAUCAUGAGUUGGAUAAUGCUCCUCAUGUCGGCGCAACUGCCUUGAAGCAUACGCAAUUACUCGGCCCUCUUGCAUUAGUACACAGCCGAGCCCACUGCCAGAUGCAUCACAAUAUACGUCAAAAGGCUUAGUGAUGUCCGGUUGAGCCAAUACCGGAGCAGUGGUCAAUAGUGUCUUCAGUUGUUCAAAGGCUUCAUUACACUUAGAAGACCAAUUGAACUUAAUGUCAUUCUUCAAUAAACUUGUGAUUGGCUUCACAAGCUUAGAAAAAUCUGGUAUGAAUCUGCGAUAAUACCCAGCUAGUACAAGAAAACUCCGGACUUGGUGAACAGUUGUUGGGGGUUUCCACUCCAGAAUAUCUUUGACCUUGCUAGGAUCUACCGCAAUUCCUUUAGCCGAUAACACGUGCCCCAAAAAUUGAAUUUCUUCCAGCCAGAACGCGCACUUGCUGAACUUGGCAUAUAGCUGAUGUUCCCUCAGGCGCGUCAAUACAAUCCGUAGAUGCUGAGCAUGAUCCUCUUCAUUCUUAGAAUAUAUCAAGAUAUCAUCGAUGAAGACCACCACGAACUUGUCCAACUCGGGCAUGAACACCGAGUUCAUCAAAUAGGUGAAGUGGGCAGGAGCAUUUGUGAGCCCGAAAGACAUUACCAGGUAUUCAAACAAUCCAUACCGCGUAGUAAACGCGGUCUUCGGUAUAUCCUCGGGCCGAAUACGGAUUUGAUGAUAGCCCGACCUGAGAUCAAUUUUGGAAAAUACCCUCGCCCCAGUCAGUUGAUCAAAUAAGAUGUCAAUCCUUGGAAGAGGGUACUUAUUCUUAAUGGUGACCUCAUUCAGGGGUCGAUAAUCCACGCACAUUCGCAGGGUUUGAUCCUUCUUCUUAACAAAGAUGGUGGGACAACCCCAUGGGGACGAGCUUGGCCGGAUGAAUCCCUUAUUUAGUAGAUCUUGUAAUUGAAUCUUCAAUUCCGCCAACUCAUUAGGGGGCAUACGGUACGAUCUUCGGGAGAUGGGAGCCGUACCGGGCUUUAGCUCAAUUACAAAUUCUACAUCUCUUUCAGGAGGCAGUCCAGGCAAAUCUUCCGGAAAUACAUCUGGAAACUCACAUACUACCGGAAUGUUCUUGAUCUCCGGUACAAUGGCUUCAUAGACUCUACCAGAAGCUUGGCUGGAUUGAUUACGGGGAGAGUCAAAAGAAUCUCUUCUUGAUUAUAGCUCAACCUGACGGUUCUGAGUUCAGUGUUGAUAAUUGCCUUGUGUUGGGUUAACCAAUUCAUACCCAAUAUUACAUCUAUAUCCUGGCCUUUUAGAACAAUCAUGUUAGAAGGAAAGUUCCGCCCGGCCAUUGUUACUGGCACUUCAUAGGCCACUUCUCUAGUAAAAAUGUGUCCCCCAGGUGAAUGAAUUUUAAAUCCCUCCUUUGAUUCAUGGUAUGCAAUAUAAUGUUGCUCCACAAAUUUCUUGCUAAUGAAUGUAUGUGAAGCACCAGAAUCAAAAAGAAUAAUUGCUGGGUGACUGGCCACGGGAAACGUACCCAUCAUCACCGGCUCUCCUUCCGGUGUAGUAGCCACUUGGGUGUAAUAUACACGCCCUGUCUUCUUCGUAUUUUUCCCCACAGCAUUUCCUUUAGGCUGAGCUGAUUUCCCAGAUCCUUGCGGAGCAUUUGAUUGAUUUUGCCUAGGAUAUGGGCAGUCUUUGAUGAAGUGUCCCGACUUGCCGCAAUUAAAGCACCCAGUUGAAGAACUAGGCAAGGCAGGGAAUCGAGUGCCUGGGGCACCCGGCUGAUUUGGGGUAGUGGGGGUAUUGUUGGGGCGAAUAAUGAUAGGUUGUUUGAAGGGGAAUGAGGGUGGACGAGAAAAAGUGCGAUUUUGGCCCGAAGGCCGGAUUACAAACCGUUGCUUCUUCGCCUGGCCCUGAUUAGGCCUCUCACCACCGAAUCCCUUAUUCUUCCCAGAAUUUGUGUAUUUGGCUUCAACAGAUAAGGCUGUGCUGACAGCCUUUCCAUACGUGAGAUCUAUACAUGUGGCCAUCUUUCUCUGUAGCCGAUCAUUUAGACCCCGCAUAAAACAGUUCUUCUUCUUUAAAUCAGUAUUCACCUGGUCGAUGGCAUACUGCGACAGGUGAUUAAAUUUGUUGAGAUAUUGGUUGACGGUAUCUCCACCUUGUUGUAACUUCAUAAAUUCCUCUUGUUUCAUAUGCAGCACUCCUUCGGGGAUGUAGUGUUCACGGAAGGCUGCUUUAAACUCAUCCCAGGUGACUUGAUGGUUGACAGGUUGAAUAGCCACGAAAUUUCCCCACCAGGUACUGGCAGGACCACGGAGUUGUUGUGCUGCGAACAACGGCUUCUGUGUCUCGAAACAACGGAGAAGACCAAACUUUUGUUCAAUAACCCGAAUCCACUCAUCAGCUUCUAGGGGAUCUUUAGCUUUGACGAAUAGGGGUGGACGGGUUUCAGAGAAAUCCAAAUAAGUAGUUUCACGGGGGCCAUGCGGAUAACCCCUUCCUGCCUGCUGCUGGAAUUGCUGCUGACCCGCCAUUUCCCUAAGGAAGCGGGUAUUGUCGGCGGUGGCAUUCACCAAGGCGGCAAUCGCCUCGGCUAACGUGGGAGGAACCGGAGGUGGGUUUGGGGGUAACAUCCCUUCCCCCAGAAGUUCCGGCUGUGUCCUGUCCUCGAGUCCUGGUCGGCAUCUGUGGCAAAGAACAUUUGAAGUAAACAUAAUGUGCCAGAGAAAACCUUCCAUUUUACAUUACUAUAAAAAGUAAUGAUACAGACUCGAUAUUACAUAACAGGAUACAUUACCCAUUAUACAAAAGUUCAACCUAUUAUACAACAGUACACCCUACAAUACACUACUCUACUUCUAUUACACCAUUAUUCCUGCUUGCCAUUACUCUUGGCGGCCUCAUCGUCAGGUGUGGGAGUCCAGACAUCAACCAACCUCAAAGAAGGAGGGGGCUCAAAAAGGUCUAACUCCCCACCCAGCGCACGUCCCGCAACGUGAGAUGGUCCGGCUUCCGCCUCAGCAGGGUGUGUAGGCUCACUAGGGUGUAACUGUGAGUAUAAUAUAUGGACUUCCUCAUGCAACGUAUUGCAGUAAACCUGCAGGUCAUCGACAGUCGAGCUAAGUUCUUUAAUUCGGGCCUGAGCCCUUGCUUCCUUAGCACAUAUUAGCAAACGAGACUGUACAGCCCAGUUAAGUGCUAAGUCUCGAUCAGCGAGCUGAUCCUGCAGAUGUCGGAUGUCCCUUCUCAGUUCAUUGAUUCUAUCUCCGUCAGCGACCCAAGCAUCGGUCCUAUGUUGCAGUGCUGCUUGAAGUCGACUCACACGGGCUUCAAGAUCUCCGAUGGGGUCGUUACUUCCACUACUGCUGCUUUCAUGUCGGGGAGCCAAUUGAUGCCGAGGCACCCCAAUUGGUCCCGUAGACUUGCGUGCCGUUAGCCUGGUUCGUGGCGGCAUCUUUUCUAAGGGGGAAAAUGUUAUUAAUAUGAUUCUUAGCAUGAUGCAUGUAUAAUUACAGAAUCAACCUUACUCGAUUCAACCUUCUAUACAUUGCACUCUUCCUAUCUGGUCUUUAAAAUAGACUCUUCAGAAUACUUAGGUAAGAAGAGAAAAGAAUUUUUAGGUAAGACUUUUGAAAAUCCUUUUGAAGAUGCCUCAUAAUAUCUGCAAAGAAGGGCUACGCUCCGAUACCAGCUGUGACGGAACCUCCCAAGUAAUUAGGCCCACCUACAGUUGUCCUUGUCUAACAGACAUCAGACACCCUGUAGAUGUUCCUAAGUUACUUGACAAGCUCGGUAUCUUUCCUUACCUCACCAGGAACGUCUCACCCGUCUUGCAGACAUUACAGAACAUCGGAGAUAAAGAGAUGCGGAAGCAAUUACAUAAACUUACAUUUAUUUCAAAAGCAAGCUUGAGUUAUUUUAUUACAGACCAGAACUAAAAAGCGAGUGCAGAGUAGUAAUAUUAUACAAACCAAGGGAGGUACAAACUCCUCCCGAUAAGCUAUAAGUAAAAGAUCCUAUGUGGAGGACCGAGUCCUCCCGCACUUCAGUCUUGUUUUUCUUCUUUUGGAACCACCUUGGCACAGAAGCAGCAAAAGUCUGCUACUUCCUCACCUAAAAACAACGAAGGGAUAAACCCUGAGUAUGGAAUUACUCAGCAAGUCUUACCCGACUAAAGAAAAGACUCUCAAGGGUAUGCUGGUUGUAUGGGAGUCAAGGUAAGGCUUUUCAAUAAUCAAAGACGCUGUUUUGCAGAAAUGCUUACUAAAGUGGAUCCUUAAAAAUCCAAUUUUAUUUGUCAAGUUAAGUAAAAUUACCUGCACUAGAGUUCUUUCUACCCUAGUUCAAUCACUGGUCCUGCACUAGCCAAUUUCUUAACAAAAGCUCAUCGUCUUUAGUGGAAUGCUACGUGUAGGGCAGUGACCAAGUCUUCAUAACCGCGAAGGUACGGCGAUCCGAAUCGAUUAUACUCAGCUGAGGAUCUCCAAUCACACGACAUAUGUAGCACUUAACCCUUGCAUAUGUCAACCCGCCACCGGGGUUCUUAAGACCGGAUCAGGUUCACGCAAACCAAGAGCACAGAUACACCACCGUCCAGCCUCUUGCCACGGAGGGUACACGCUACUCUCGCCACCGCUCCACGCCCAUUUCGUGUUAUCUUAUUCCGACCUUAGUCUGCCCGAGGCAAGGCUUACCCAUGACGAGGCAUGUGACCAGUUAAAGGGUCCUCGAUCAUCAAGCCUACAUCGACAAGGUCCUUAAUCGACUCAGACAGAGACACUACACCGAGACUCUCUUCUCGUGCAAGUCACCCGCCCGGUCUCAACUUAAUUAUUUCAAACCCAAAGUUUGGUACCUGGCAGAGGUACAUCUUUUCCGAUGUUGAACCUAUCAAGGCCUUUGAUAGAUCCAUCAUCAAGUUUUAUUUUCGAAAAACAUCCCACCCACUUUUGCCACAUCAUAUUUUGUAAAAACAAAACCUUUUGUUUUUCUAAAGCCAAGCUAAGCAUCAAAAAGCUUUUGUAAAACAGGUGAUUAAGGAAGGUAAUCCAAUUCAAGGAAGGUAAUGCAGGAUUGGUUUUAUCAAGCAACUCCUAUCACCUAAUGCAGCAAUCAAGUGAGAAAGAUUUUAAAAUAGCAAGGAAGGUGGCAAAUGCACCGGGGCUUGCCUUCGUUUACAGGUGAUUCGGGUUCGGAUCCACAGAUAUCGAAGUAGAAACUAUUGCCUGCUUGUGAAUCCGAAGGAGGUGGUGUCCUGUCUUCGGUGACUUCUAUCUCUUCUUCACGUUCUAAUCAUAACCAUACAUAAGUAUAAGAAUGGAUGCCAUGGGAUGCUCAUGAGGAUGCAAAUAUAAACUUAUUAUCUAUGUCUUGAAUACAACUUUCCUUCACGGAGUUCCGGGAACUUAGGGUUUCCGGAGUCGGUAAAGGAGUUCAUAGGGCAGGGGGGGUGUUUUGGGGUUUGGUGAUCAAACAAGGUCCAAAUCAAUUCAAAUCCUACCCAAGGCUUCUAAAUAUUAUGAGGAACUCAUAUAAAAAUUUUGAGCAUUUUUGGAAUUACCAUUUGUUUUCUAAAAAUCCAUAACCAACAUUUUUAACCACUUUAAAUACCCUAAAAUUUCUUAUUUCCACUAAAAAUCACAAACUUAUUUUUACUAAAUUCUAGGGAAAAUAACAAGCCUAGGAAAAUUAGUUUCACAAUUUUAGCAUUUUUCUACAUUUUUCUACAUAUUUCUAAAGCUCUGCUGAAAAAGAAAAAGGAAAAGGAUUAAAUAGAACUGGGCCGGUUCUGGCCCAGACGGCCCAGGUCCAAGGCAAAACGCGCCCGCGCGCGCCCGCGCCCUGGCGGCUUUGCAGAAAGGGCCCCGAGUUUUUGACUAACUGUGAACGAGUUCAGUUACUAUUUGUAUCAGUCACUGACAAAUUGCACCGGGGCCCCUGAGGUUCUAUUUCUCCACAGGUGAGGUCCCUGACGACGGCAGCGCACGGAGGAGCUCCGGCGAGCGCGUAGACCGGCCGAGCGGGGCCACGACCGGUGCUCAGCUGCGGCCUAAACCAAAUUCACAACCUAGCGAAUGUUUCCCCUAGGUUAAUUUGAAGAAUGGUGCCCUAAUAUGCCCUGACCACGGCAACCGUGAGUAUUGCGGCUAGGUGGUCGCGUUCCCGGCGACCAGAGGAUUCUCAAUCCAAUUGCAUGCGUCGGUGAGUUUGAGGGAAGCUUAAGGAUGCUAAAACGAGAUUAGAGAGGGCGUGAUCGGACCUGGAGAGGGCUGGCCACGACGAGCUUGGGUUCACGACGUUCUUCAACCGGUUUGGGGGAAAUUCCAAAUUCAAGUUCUCUGGUGGGGGGUUUGGGAUGCAGGUGGGUGCAGUAGAUGCUUGGAUGCAUGGCGGAGCUGGGGGUACUGUCAAUUUAUAGCGCCCGCGGGCGGUGGUGCUCAAUUUGGCCGAGCCACGCGGCGGUCGGAGGUGAAGAAGAAAUCACUGGCCUCGUGAGUUCGUGGCCAACGGCGUGGCAAGCUCACCGGCGUCGAUGGGACAGCCUUAAGGUGUCACCGCGGUGCGGUGGAAAGGCUAAGCCACGCGGCACAUGGCUGGGAGGCGGCGGUCAUCGGCGAGGUAAUCCACUCAGCCGCAAAGAGGGAGAGAGGGCCACGGGGGUCACCGGAGUGAUCGCCAGCGCACGGGCGGUGAAGAUCUUUUACCCCGCAAGGUUAUCCAUUUGCUAUGAGCGCGAAUCCGGACGGCGGCAGCAUGAAUCACGGCGGAGGGAGCCGUCGGCGGUGAGGACAGCCGCGCUGGCGGUCUGAUCCCUAUUGAGCACUGUACCAUGGCAGUCACCAAUUCAGAGCGACUGACAGAGCACAUUGGAGCAUCAUUUUCUCUGAUUUUCAGAUGGCAACACACCCAGUGAUCUAUAGCAAAGUUGUAGUGCUAUAAUCCAUCUAUAUCUUUGCUAUAAUGUGUACUCACAAAAGGUCACUGGAUCCCCUUCAAAAUCGAGCUCAAAGUUCAUGUCAUAACACUGUUAAUCUGCAUUUCAGACUUCAGGCAGCCUGACAGUCCAUCUUUGAUUGGGUUUUUCUCCAAAUUUCACAUAAGACCAUGGCUUGAACCCUUAAACAAAGUUGUUCUCCCAUGAUUGAUCUUCAACUUUGAUGUGGUCACCUAACAUGAAUUCUCACUAUUUUGGAAGCUACACAGCCCCAAAGUUGGGCCUACAACCCUGUUUUCAGACUUAGCAUAGGACUCAAAUGAGGUCCAUUUUGCAUUUAAGUCCAAAACUUAGGGUUUGGCUUUCAAGUCCACAUGUUUGUGAACCAAAUGACUUAAAAUACUUAUUUAGCUUGGUUUUUGCACUUUAGCCCAAAAGUGGGCUAAUUUUGCACAUAAGCCCCUAGGGUUUGGUUUUAGGGUUUUCCAGGGUUCCAAUUAGGGUUUCUGGUAUUCCAGGGGUAUAAAAGUGAUUCAAGUUUAUUCUUGGGGUCAUUUUAUGACUUUUACCCUAAAGCUUUUAGGUUUUCUCAACUUGGGUUAGGUUUUACCCCUUUAAUCCCUAUUUAGGGUUAAGUCCUUUAACCAGGGUCCUAUUUGCAAAACACUUAAACAAUACAACUUGUUUGAAAUUUUUGCCUAGUGAAUGCACUCUAGGUGUGUCAAACAUAUGCAAUGCCAAUGCUAUGAUGCCAUGCUCAAGUUUUAGUUACAGUAACACCAGGGGUGUUACAAUGAAAUCCCCCUUUAUUAUAAGAAUUUGUUCACAAAAAAUUGACUCUUGCAAUAUAUAGACUAAGUUGCCCCUAUAUUUAUGCAUACAUAUGAUGAAUAGCAAACCAUAUGCAUAACAGAGGAAUGAAUUGAAAGAAUGUGGAAGUUUAACCUAUAUAAUGUACGAAUAAAUCAUGUAAGAGAUACCAAAUGAUCUGAAAAUAAUAUGCAUGAUAUUAAAGUUGAUACUAGUAUGUAUGAUACCAAUUGUUGUAGAAAUCUUGAAAUAUGAAACAUGUUGCUUCUCCAAGAACUCUAAUUUCAUUUCAAAUGAGAGUAAUACACAUGAUAGGCUUGAAAUAUGUGUUAGUUUUAAAGAUACCAACUUUUAGAGUGACCUCAACCUAAAAGUGUGCGUACAAGUUUUAAAUACUUGUCGAAGACAUGCACUUAGACUUUUAUCAAAAAUUACCACUUGAAGGAUAUUUUCACUUGAAUUUGGUAAUAUAUAUAUAUUUUAAACUAAGGCACCUUUUUGUCUCCUAGUAAAUCCUAUGCAAUAAAUAAACUACCUUUGUACAACUAUCUCUAUCACAAAGAGUUAUACAACCUAGGUUAUGAAUCUAUCAACUAAGCUAGGAAGGUAAAGCACACAACAAAGGUAAACAAUAUAAAUGCAGAAGAUUAAGUGCAAUUGAGAUAAAACUCCCAUUAUUGCCUCUGGUAUUUUUACCAAGAUAUUGAUAAGCACACAAGCUUCACUCUAAUCCUUGUUAGAUCCCUUGCAAGGAUGCCCAUACGAGACUGUAAAAGAAAACCCAAAUUAAAAGCUUCCUAAGAGCAGCUUGUCUACCAAUUUCACCAUGGCUGCUAAUUUAAAAUCUAACUUAAAAACAAUUUAUCCUUUUUAUGACAAUGAAGUAUUAUGGUGAUCAAUCGAGAACACAUAUUUAGGAUUAAAGAUUCUCUAUGAAGGAGGACCUCUACUCUAAACUCAUCGUCUAUUUUCAAUCGGGUAACUCCAUGGAUAGCCUUGUCUUUUUCUAUGCGCAACUAGUGCGCCAUUGUAGUCUCUCUUGGAUGCUCUUUGCCAUCUUCACUAUCGUGUUUUUGGCCAAAUCAUCAUUGGCCUCGUUUCGUUCAUGCACUUUGAUUGAUCUAAGUAUUGAUGUUUAUUUCCUAAUAAUAAAGUAUCUUGCCUUUUAGUUCAAUGCAAUAACACUUUUGUUUUAAUGCUAUUGACAAAUGAUAGGUAAUAAGAAUGAAGGAGGAAGUACUCGCUGUGGAUAGGACAGUGGCAAUUCAAGAACAACUUGUUGGGUUUUAAAUAAAGAGGUCAUAUCUAAAUAAUGAGAGUUUCAUCAUGGUGGACAAACGCUUCAACACACGGCCGAUGAACAAGAUUCAUAUUAAGAUCAUAGUGUGGAUACAGUAGUUAGACAACUUCAUAGACAUUUAUGUACAUAUCCGUUUGUUUAUAUAUAUAUAUAUAUAUAUAUAUAUAUAUAUAUAUAUAUAUAUAUGAAUCAACACAUGCAUAUGUGUCUAUGUUCAUUAUAUAUAUAUAGUUUAUGUAUUUGAAGCCCUAGGCUUUCACUAACUAAAGAAAGCCCUAGUCUAAUGAUACCUCUCGUCGAACCGCACCACCCCAAUUCUUUCCCAUUGAACCGCAACUCGGCUACCUUUCGGUUCAAUCGAUACCCGUUCCCGAGAACCCUAUACCAUGUCGCGCACCACCUUUACUUGUUCCAUUAUUCGUGGCCCCAUCUGCUCCCCAGUCUUUCCAAAUGGAACUCCUCGAUCCACGGCGACGGCAGCGAUUGGACUCUCGCCCGCUCCCCAGCCGUAGUCCAUGGCAGCAGUGGCGGCAUGCCCGAAAGCGCCUCCCUAAGAAGGGCCUCCCCAAUAGUUACAGGAAGUGCCUCCCCAAGAAGAGAAGCAGUGGCGGCAUGCCUGACGAUGAUGGGCUCGAUGACUUAGGGUUGGAGGCAAGCGCAUGCACUAGCUCGAUGACUUUAGGUAUAUUGGGAGCCCAGGGCUUCUAAUAGUUACAGGAAGCCCUAGCCACCCAAUGGUCCGCGCCCAACAACUAGGUACGUGCAGUGGGGCGCGUCCCGCUGGCAUGCACCGGCCAAACCUUCCCACGCGCGUCAGUCAAACCUUCCGGUCUCCUACGUGGGACAUAAGCCAUAAAUUAAUUGUGGUUCUGUGUUUUUUUGCAAAUAGCGUAAAUAGUUUACAUAAAUAGUGUAAAUAGUUCAUAGAGAUAGCAUAAAAACCUCGCCCAGACACUUAGUUCAUAGAGAUAGCAUAAAACCUCGCCCAGACACUGGACCAUGUCCAUAUGCGCACGCGCAUGCAUGCAGAUCAGAUCCAAAAAUUAUGGCAGGUCAUGGGAGUUUCCAUUGCAUCUACGCAAAUUUUAGAUGACAUUUUCGUUUCCACUGCAUGCGCGCAAAAAUGGAUGGCUCCAUAAAUAUAGGAUUGCUCCAACAGUCAUGUAGCUAGGCUCGUUAGAACCAGCUUAUGAUAUAUACUGAUAGUAAUUAUGCUACAGAGUGUAUGCAUUUAUUCAAAUCGGUACAUUGCGUAAAAAAUUGUUUGCUGCUGCAUGCGCACAAAUUUAGGAUGACAUUAAUGUGCGAUGAAAGGACAUGGAUUGGCAUACAUAGAAACAAAAAAACUUAUUCAAAUGCUUUAUUUCCUCCAUAAAUAUAGGAUCGCUCAAACAACCAUAUAGUUAGUUUCGUUAGAACCAAUUUAUGAUAUAUAUUGAUAGUAAUUAUGCUACACGGUGUAGGUUUUUAUGCAAUACGGUACAUGCGUAAAGAUCUGGCAUGUAGUUCACUGGUGGACGGAUCUCCAUGUUCAAGCGUAAAAUUCUUUGGUUUUGAGCGUAAACACAUACAGUUAUAAGCGUAACUAUUGAUCCAACAUUCAUGUGGUUCCUUUUUUAAUGUAGAUCCGAAAAUUAUGACAACCACUAGGCAGAUGCUUGUGGUUCCUAUUUUUAUGUAGAUCCGAAAAUUAUGGCAGGUCGUGGGAGUUUCCAUUGUAUGCACACAAAUUUUGAAUGUCAUUUUUGUUCCCACAGCAUACACACAAAAAUUGAAUGGAUGGUAUCGAGCAAAGCAUCAAUCGUUAUAAAAAUUUGUAUAAAUACAUACAUCGUACAUCAUAAUUAAUAAAAAAACAACCCUAGUAUAGACUAAACCAAUAGUCGCAUGCAUAAACAAAGGAUUGGAGGAGGUCGUCGCCGAAUGAUGCCGUCGAGACCACCAGAUUAGAGGAGUUGGUCACCAAAGAACGCCCGAACCAUCGUAUAGAUUACUGACCCUCGCAGCCUGCGCCUCAAGCGACGUCGUCGCCAUCAGAGCCACCCGCGGCUCAUGUGGCCGACGCUGCAGGAGACACCCAUGCCUCGCGCGACCGCCAGAGGGGGCUGUCACACCCAGUUUUGGAAGGCAAACCGAAUGUGAACCAGGAUUAGAAACUCACAUACAUAGCGAUUACAUAAUUGGACACCAUCACACAUUGCUCAAAGUAAAUAGAGAAAAGGUACUUUAUUACAUCAAGAUGCCUAAAACAUCCACAGAUUCAUUACUUAACAUAGUCAUUAACAUUAUUAAAGUGCGGAAAAGCGAACGUAGCAGAUAAGGCCUUCACAUGUAGCUGACUAGGGUUUGCCACUAACAUAACUAGAACUCGUCGUAGUCCUAGAACUCCUCAAAGUCCUCCAUAUUGUCUGCAUCUCCUCCUGAGCACUGAAUACAGUGGGGACAACCUAGGGUGGGGGUGGUUUUUAAAGCAAGGGUGGGUACACAUUAAUGUACUCAGCAAAUGUCCCGUUUGGCUAAAGUGGACUAGCUAUAUGUGGAGUUAAGGUUAAGAAGUUGCUUUUAGUUGGUUAAGUAUUUAUUACUAAUUGUAUAGCCAAGUUUUAGUGAUAAACCUAGUUAUUACCCAAAAGUACUCCCUUUAAGAGGAAAUACCAGAGAUCAGAAUCAUAAUCAUCAAUAAUAAUCAUCAUCAUAAAAGUAUCCAAUGUUCUUCUAAUCAAAGAGGAUCCCAAGGCUGCUCUUAAUCGUGAGCAUGGCUGAUAUACCAGUUUCUAACACUCUGCAGAGGUUGCACACUUUACCCACGAGUCGUGAUCCCUUUCCAGCCUAGGUUGUACAGACCUGAUCUUGACUACCGAGGUGAAUGGCCAGGGAUACACUACGUAGCCUUUACAAAGAUUCCCUAGAGGUCAUAGUCGCCCGUUAGGUUUCUCCAGUUUGAUAAACAUAGUACUUCUCCCCACAGGAAGGGUGACUAACAAAACCAAAUCGAAAGAACCUCGGCAGAGCAAGUACUGUGCCCGGACCCCAUUGAUGGCCCUACGGCAAAGCCAACUACACCUCAAGUUCCUCUAAUUAAUCAUCUAAGGGCAUCCCAUUCCACCCUCAUGGUUGCACUAUUAUCCCGGGUGGUCACUCAACAAACAGGUCCUUAUGGAGAGGUACUCAUGAAACAACCUAAGUCCCCUAAAGUAUCACAAGAUCAUCAUCGGGAUAACAUCAUCGUAUCAUAAAUAUUCACACCAUGUUCGUUAAUUAAGCUAAAGCAAUAGUAUAAAGCUAACCAUGAUAACCCAAAAGGUAAACAAGGGUAAGGUAAAUACAGACUAAUCGAUCCUUAGGUUUCAAUAAAGUAAUACAGGAUGUUGAAUUAUAAAGUAAGUAGGACAUAAUGGGUCAGAGGACACUUGCUUUCACCAGGUUGUUGCUCAAGAAGAUCUUCGGCAAUACACUCAGGAACCACGGGCUGCUCAUUGUCUAAACAAAGCGAUCAUGCAUUCAAUACAUUUGGAUAAAGACAAAUGAAUAAUACACCAAACAUAUACAACCAAGUGAGCACAAAUUUGACAGAGCAGUGUGAACACAAAAGGACAACUUAGGUGCUAGGGUGAACUGGCACACUUAGAGGUUUGUGAUUCCCUAAAUAUUAUCUAUCUCCAUGGAUUACAUAAUUUAAUUCCACUAAUUUUUAGUAAGACACAAAAUUAUAACAGGGAUAAAUUCAUACAUUACAUAUUAUUAAUCUCACAAGGUUAAACAUCUAAUUACCAUCAGGUUUUUUAUUUUAUUUUCUUAUUUAAUAAACAAACUAUUACAUAUACUAACCUAUAGUCUAGGCAUAAAAUUAACAUGUGUAGACCAUGAGUGAUCAUAAUUUAUUUGGACAGACAAUAAUCCUAUGAACAUUUUGCAAUUUGAAUCACUCAAUUUGGAGUUCAUAUGCAAAAGAUAUGAAAUAAACAAAUUUUGAAGUUUAAAAUACAAAAUUAGGCCUAAAUCUAUGAUUAAUUAAAAUGUCAGGGGUCUGUCUGCAAGAUUACAGGGGCCUGCGUGCGAAAACCAGGGACGGCGGGUUGUUUUCCGGAAAACUGAGGGUUUCUUUAGCAAAGCGGCUGUGCGAAGGGGUAUCGGAUCUGCUCAGCCGUCAGAUCCACGAUCAACGGCCGAGAUUAGAUUCGAGCGCGAGCGCGAGCGCGCGCGGCGAGCGCUGAGAGGUAGGCUCGGGGGGGGGGGGGGGGGGGUUGAGGCACUGACACGCGGGGCCCACGGGUCAGUGGUAUGCCGAUGGCGCGGGGCGCGCUGGCCACUGGAUCGCAGAUCGACGGCUCUAGUUCCACGAACCGCGCGAACCGUUAUCCGCGAAUCUAGGUCGUUAGAUCAGGACUGGGCGGUUAGGAUGGGCACUAGGGGGCUUCACCUUCUCCGACCCUGCCAGGGGCAGCGCCAUACGCGGACUCAGCGGCGAGGCAGACCGGGGCUCCUAGGGCAAUAGGGUUUGGUAUGGGUAGCCAGAGAGGUUGGGGAGGAUUCGGCGAAUCCUUUGGCAGGGUCGAAGUUGCAGGAAUGGGGCUGAGGCGACCAGACGACGGAGGGGAAGUCCUCGGUGGAUCGGGGGUUACUCCGGCGAGCAAUUGCGCGCAACAAAGGGCAAGCCAGGGGAAAUUAGAGGCGGGGUUAGAUCAGUUACCUUGAGAGAAUGCUCAGGGACUCACGAACGGCGUCCAGGGCACGGCAUGGGCACGGGUCGACGGCGGCGGAGCUGCGGCAGGGCAGAGAGGACAGGUAAGCAUGGACCGAGAGAAACAGAGGGGGAGGGAACGAACCGAGGGGUGUCCCGGGUCGCGGGUGAUGAGGCAAAGCUCACCGAGGCAACAGACACGGCAAGGGCUCGAUGGCGACCGUAGAAUGGGCACGAGACCACGGCGAACGGCGGCGAAGCUUCCUAGGUGCGCGCGCAGAGCGAGAGAGAGGGCGAGGGUGCUCCGUGCUCGGCUGGGGGCACAACUGAGCGGGGGAGGGCGAGUGAGUGUGGACGGGCUCCAGAAAAGGCUCGGGCGUGUGGGGGCGUGGCCGGGAAACGAGCGGUCGUGGGCGAGUCCACGGAGGAGAGCGCGGGCGGCUCGAGGGGGGGACGGUUCUGACAGGCGGGGCCCACAGGACAGAGAGAGAGCGUGCAAGCGAACGAGCUUCAGUGCUGACGAGCGGGGCCUGCGGGACAGAGAGAGCAAGCGCGCUUGCGCAGAGAGAACUGGCGCCGACAGGUCGACCCCACCGGGCAGCGAGAGGGAGAGAGGGAAGAGAGAGCGGGCGCGGGAUGACGCUGACAGGCGGGGACCGCUUGUCAGGGAGGGGCGGACGCACGGACGCGGGAUGACUGGGCUGAAAUGGGCUUGCUGGGCUAGAAUUGGUUUCCCUUUUUCCUAGAAUUUCUAAUUGCUUUUCUUUUUAUUUUCUCUAUGAAUUUCAAAUCAAAUUCAAACCCCAAAUCAAAUUCAAAUAAUUUCAAACAUGUGCAUCAAACAAAAGAAUAAUUUAGGCUCAACAUGAUGCAACAAUUCAUGACUCACAUAGUUUUGACAAAGUAAAUAAUUAAUCCCUCACUUACUUAACCUAAUUCUACUCAAAAGGAAAAGAGAGAGAGAGAGAGUCUAGAGGGAGAGACAAGAGGUAACACCUGAAUUUGGUAGGCAUUUAGAGAAGAAAUUUUAUACCCCCAAAUUUAGGGUGUUACAGGGGCCAUCACUGUCGUGCGCACGUGGGGAGCCCUCACACGAGUCUGUGUCCGCUCGCUCCUCCCUGGGCUGAGGUCGGCACUCGCUCCUCCGGGGCCACCAUCGCCGCUGCUCGCGCCUCGAGUAACCACCGCCGGCGAGUGAGGUGGCGCGCGUAGCUCGCUUGCGCCUCCCCAGGCCGUGGCCGGUGCCUGCGCCUCAUGGGCUGUCGGCACCGCUCGCGCCUCUCGGGCCGUCAUCGCUGCUCGUUCUCGGGGAACUGUUGUCGUCGCUCGUGCGUCAGGAUGGUGGCGUCAAAAAAUAAACUCUAGAGGUCUGGAACUGCUUUUAUAGACGUUGGGACCUGGUUGGGUUGGAACGUGUUGCCUAGCGUCUAGCAUGUGUUUCCUCUAGUUAUUGAAAACCCAUAUAUAUUGACUUUAGUACCAAUUUGUGAUUACAACCGGUGCUAAUGUUUCAACUUUAGUACGGCUCUAGCCAAGAACCGAUACUAAUAGGGGACCUUUAGUAACGGUUCUAAGCAAGAAUCGGUACUGGAGUACUAUCUUUAGUACCAGCCAGUGCAACCGGUAAAGUUGCGGGCUUUUAGUGUCAGAUGCGGGCUUUUAGUUUAACUUUCGAUCAAUACAAGUAAAAAAAAUUCAGUUGCAGUUCUCAAAAGAAAUAUUUUUUGUUAGUACAAAUUAGAUCAAAAUUAAGGUGAAAUCAGAUGCUCUCAGUGUUGUACAGACUACAUACACAGUGCUGGUCGCGGGAAAAAAGAUCUUCUAUAUUUGUGAUCGGGUGUCAUCACUAAAUAUAUACAUGCAUGUUGUGCAAAUAACACCAUUUUACUUGAUAAACUUGUUUGAUUUCACAGCCUUGAAGAGAACGAAAAACACUCUACAUAAUGUUGAUGUAUGGAACGUAUAAACAAACAUAACAGGCGCGGGGUAAUUAGAUAAUUAAACUUGACUAGUAGUGUGGGUUGACGGCGAAGCACUUCUCCCUGAUCUCUCCCUCGUCGCCGGUGAGCACCUGGACCUUGCCCAUCUUAACCAUGGCCUUGGCGAACUUGACCUGCCAUGCCUUCUCGACUGCGGCGUUGAAGUGGACCAUUCCGGCCGUCCAUGGGUUGUCGAGCAGUGUGUUGUCGGAGAUGAACAGGACUUUGUGCGCCAGCACGUUCUUGUAGUACUGGUUGUCGAAGGUCGCCGGCGUGACUGGGUCAAGCGGCACCACCGUGGGGUCCAUCUGGUCGUCGCUGGACGGCCAAGGGCACCGUGCCUUUAGGUGCCCGGCGUAGGCGGGGUCGAGGGACGGGUCUGUCUGCCCCAGCUGCCCGCUGAAGUUGUAGAGGCGCUGCGUGAAGGAGGAGCAGUGGGAGCGGCCGAUGGUGUGCGCGCCAGAGAGCGUGACCAUGUCGUCGGCGUUGAGCCCCU